UUUAUGAAGAGUUGGUAAGUAGAGGAGAGCAGCGAGUCCGCUCCCUCCGGAGGUGAAGUAAUAGUAAGUAGGGAUACUGAGAGUACUUGAGGAAACUUGAAACGCGGGGCUGCAAAAGAAAUCGAUAACAAAGGCUUUGAGGUUUGAGCGUUUGGAAAUUGUUAUUAGGGUUUCGUGGAGUUUAGGGUUGUUGAGCUCGCCAAGCUCGUACGCUAAGGCUGGGAGGUCAACUGGUGAACGUAAAGUGUCGAGUAGGCCGGAAACCGGAGGAGGGAGCUGGUGGAAGGUAACGGAGGGAACUGUGGCGGAGACGGAGGCGAUGUAAUCAUCGGUACCGGCGCUUGUUACGAACGGGGCGGUGGGGAUUAUGAUGUCGAUGGAGAAGCAAGGGUGAUACGUGAGUAUCAAUUUUCCUAAUUCAACCAUGGAGUUUAAGUGACCUCUUCCUGGAGAAGUAUAAAGGACGAUCGUAUCUUUCAUUGUUUUAAUCUUUAAUUUUACAAGUUAAAAUAAAAAAAACAGGAGAAAUGGUGAGAAAUUAUAGUGAGAGAGAAUGAGAGUGAUAAAGGGCUCCUUUGUGUUUGCUAAUCGCAAUGCAAUUAUGUAUCCACACCCAUGAGAAUGAGAGUGUAUCCACACCCACGACGAAACACCGGAAGCCUGUUGGUCACAGGGUUAAGAGGGCAGAAUUGUUGGUUGAAGUAAAGAGGAGGAUUUUGGGGAAACUCAACUCGGCUUCAAUCCCUUGUCUAACUUGUGGACUGAAUUAUUUAUAAAAAGGAGAAGGAAUUGCGUGUUGAGGAUCUGCUAUCACUUGUUUGACAGGUAUUGGGCCCAUCAGACAAUCACACUAUCACAGUAUGCUGACAUAAUUGACCUGACAUAUAUUCUAGCCCACACAGUACAACUUAACAUUUAUUUUAGCGGAUCCCCCUUAGUAAGCUACAGCUGGCUUGUCUUUUCAUUUCUGACCUGUUUGCUACAAAAUACCGUUUAGCCCCUUGAACUCUAUAUUAUUUAUAAUUUAUUCAUAAGUAUAUGAAACUUUCUCUAUUAUAAAAUUUUGUUGAGACCCUUACACUCUAUUUUAUUUUAUUGAAACCCUUAGAUUAGAGUAUCAAAUUAGCCACUUAUAAUUUUUAAAUUUUCAAAAUAUCCUCCAUUUAAUUAAAAAAUAUAAUAAUUAUUAAAUGAAUUAUAAUUACUGCUGUACGGCCAAGGCGGAUGUACGGUACAGCAGAUACNNNNNNNNNNNNNNNNAGUAUAAUUAUUUAAUCUAUUAACAAAAAUUAAUAAUAUUUUUUUAGUUAAAUUGUUAAUAAUAAUUAUUAACAAUCAUUAUUAUUAUUAUUAUUAAUUUUUGAAUAAUAAUAAUAAUCACAAUAAUUAAAAUAUAAAAUAAUUAUUAUGAUAAAAUUAAUUAAGGAUUUUAUAAUAAUUUGUUACAAUUUAACUCAUUUCGAUUUUGAUUCUAAGACAAAGUAAACACAUAAAUGAUAAUACAACUCAUUCUAAUUACAAUUCCUGCAGUUCAAGUAAAUAAAUUAUUCUUAUUCUGAUUCUAAUUCGUCAUUUCAAUUUUAUCUAUUGAGUUUCUAACUCAUUAUGUUUCUAGGUAAUUUUUAUUCUUAUUUAGUUAAUGCACUAUAAAAUUUUAAAUAUUUCAUAUUAAUUCCUAUUUACUAAAUAGGAAUCGAAAUUAGAGUGGUUUGGACCUCACAAGUCACACCACCCACCUUUUAAAGCCGAGAAAAUCUUUAGUUUGUGUAAUUAGAGAAGGAAAGGAAUUAUUGAAUAAUCUUUGAAUUUCAAGAAAUUGCAAAUGUGUAAAUUACAAAACUCCUUUAGAUGGAUGUUGUAACAUCUUCAUGGAAUAUUCCUGCGUAUAAUAAGUAGAUCAUUUUUGUGAAACGACAGUGCCAAAAUCAAGAUCAAAAUAUCAUUAAUUUGAGGGGGCCAAAAUUAAACUUUGUAUACAAAUGGGUAAAAUUUCAGUUAAAUAUAUUAUCUUAUCUUUUAAGAAAUUCUAGACAUCAACAUAGUUCUGCACCACAUAAUACAUCAUUGACUAUAUAUACACAAAAUUUUCAAUAUAAAAUUUUAAAAUGCGAGAAAAUCUUAAAAAAUUUUUAAACCGCAGCUCUCUCUCUCUACAUACAUACAUACAUAUAUAUAGUGUCGGAACGCAUCUGCCAUUACGCAUAUAUAUCAUUUUCAUUGUCCUGGACCAAAUUCUGCAUUUUGGACACUCAUUUAUUUUUCACGAACGUCGAAGAGUCAAAAAGAGAGAACGAGAGAGGGAAAAAAUGCAUGUACUUUGAUUAUUACUUCGUGAAGACUAGGCAAAGCAAUUGGUGUUGGCAAAGCCCAUAUUAAUUUUUAGUUGCUAUCUUCUCCAAUAAUUUAAACUCGUAUGGUUGAAUAAAUGAGCAGUUACACAUAUUAUAAAAGUCACAAGAUAAUUCUCAAGAAUUUUGAUGAUUAUGUAGAAGAUUUUCUCAAUUAAGACAAUGGAAACCACUAUGAGCUAAAAUCAAUAUGUCAUUAUGACCAUUCAUAUACGGCAAGUACUUGUUAUUGCCAUUAUAAAUUGCACAUAAGGAAAACAUCGCGACCGUCAUGAAAUGAUAUGUCAUCCGAUUGAAAAUUUCUAAAAUGUUGUGAUGAACAUAAAUUUUAUAAAUUAUAUAUAAGACUAUAAAAUAAAAUGUGAAAAUAAGUAAAUUAAUAAAAAAAUUAUUAACUGUUAUAAAAUUAACCAGGUUCUACAAAAUUUUAGUGAAAAAUAAUUUAUUCAUUUGUUUUAGUUAAACAAAGAAAAAUCGCUCAUCAAUUAGAAACAAAAAUUUGUACUGAAAACAAGUGUAAUAAAUUCAAUUGAAUUGUUUUAACUAUAAAUUUUAUAUUCAUUUCAUGACAUUUACAAAACUUUUUUUAUUUAAUUUUCUAUAAUAGUAGUUGUUUACUACACAAGUUAAUUAAGCAAAAUUAUUUAGCUUGAUGUAGAUUAAGUCAAAAUAAAAUUAACAAUAUAUUCUAUUAUUACUAGACACAUAUAUGAUAUAUCAAUAAAAUUAGAUUUAAUUUUGAGUCUUACAUCAUAUUCAUAGAAAUCUAUAUAACACUUUUUUUAAAAAAAAUAACUUUUAAUAAAUCAUUAUGAGUGUAUAAAUGUCAUUGUGAAUGUCAAAACUAAUAAAAUAGUCCAUUUAAUAAUAAAAGUUAACGAAUGUGGGUGCAUUUAUCCACGAGGGGUGUAUUUUGUUCUUUUUGUAAAAAUUUGGAGUUGUAUGUCUUAUUAUCCAAAAUAAAAUGAUAAUUAAUUAAAAAGAAUAUAUAGUAAAUUCUUUUAAAUUUUUUUCCAAGUCGACUGAAGACUUGUACGUUAAGAUGAACGAAGUAUAUUGGCAUAGGUCCCUGGGUUUCAUAUACAACUAUACAGAUAUAUCAUAUAUGUAUAUUCAUAGCGGAUCAAAUAAAAUUACAAUGCAAUCCAAGUGGCUCCUUUUGCUUACACAAGUAGCUUUAUUUUCUGUGAUUUCGUUACAGUUGGCGCCAAGAGUUGCAGAUUGUUCUAACAACACAACAAUAAGGUGCAUAGAUGAGUAAAGAGAAGCACUCCUCACUUUCAAACAUAGCGUGGUGGACGAACAUGGCAUUCUGUCUUCCUGGGGAAGUGAAGAUAACAAAAGAGAUUGCAGUGAAUGGAUAGGAGUCCUCUGUAGAAACAAAACGCGCCACGUAUACGCUCUUGAUCUUCAUCAACACGGGGCUCUAAAACUGAAAGGUAAAAUAUUAAGCCUUCUUUGCGUAAAUUGCAACAUUUAACUUAUUUGGACCUCAGUUUCAAUGAUUUCAGUGGAAUUCUGAUUGCUGACUGUUAAGGAAGCACACAAUGUGUGGAAGCAUUCUGCACACGUGUGAGUGGAAUCCAGUCAGCUGAAUUGGUUGAAGAAUGUAAUGCCAGCUCAGCAGAAGUUAGUUAAGCACACUAAGUUUCUGUUUCAGUUUGUUUUUCUCUUCUGUUAACUGCAAAUGAACUGAAUAUAAAUAAGUGCAUUUUGUAAUCAUUCUGUAAUUAGAGAAAAAGAAAUAAAUAUGAAAUUCUAGAAGCCUCUUUAUAAUUUUCUUAGCAAUCAAAACAUAUUUUCUUAGUAACCAAACAGAUUGAUCGUUGAAGUUUCAAGGCUUCAUACUCAUCCCUCAUGGCUUGAUGCCAAUUCUAAUCACUAAGAGCAAUCAAAACAUAUUUUCUUAUUUAGACCUUUGGUUUGAAGAUUCCAAACUUUGAUCUGGUAAUGAUUGGAUGAGAGGAUUGUGGGGGAAGAUUUCUGGUUUGAUUCUGAUAUGUGUUUUGUGGAAUAGAUGGUUGUGUUGGUAAUGUAUUUGGUUCAGUUUGUGGUUGUGUUGAUAAUGUAUUUGGUGAUGGUGAGGUUGAAGAUGACAAUUCUGAGAGUGUGUGUGGUGAAUGUUCCUGUUGAUUCAGAUUAUUUGUAUGUGUAGGAAUAGAAGACAUUUGUUCAUUCCUUGCUGAUCCCGAACCAGAAAGUGCGGGAAACGUCAAAGAAAACUUUAAAACCGCGAGGUUUAAAAGGCUUAAAACUUAAAGCGCUUAAACCACACAGUUUAUGUGUUUUCCCAGACGUUCCCGUGCUUUAAAAUUCUGGACUGGAACAUUUUUCAUAUAUAUAUAUGUCCUCAUGUCUGAUUAAGAUCCUCACAUGGUCUAAUGUGCUUCUGAGCAAAAUUCACUCAAAUUAACAAUUUUAUUUCUAGUUUAAAUAUUAUGAAAUGGGCCCUUUAACUUUAUGAGGAUCAGGUUAUGGCAUCCUUUUAUUUGUUGUUUAUCAAGUAUAACUGUCGAUUAUCAAACCAAAAUAAAAAUAAUAACGAUUUUUAUCCAAAAGAAAGUCCAGUCCGAGCUACUAAUCUUUCCUUGCAAAUUACCGAGAAUUGAUUUAAGUGCAUCAAGGCCUUUUCCUUCAAUCGCUUAAUAUUACUGAUUUCUAGCCCAUUAUCCUUGUUGUUUGAAACUAGUGUUCACAUUUCCAAUUUAUUGGGGGUUGAUAGAACUUUUGAUUUUGCAAGUGAAAAUCACCAUCUAUCAUGCCUUGUGCUGGUAAAAAUAAGCAUAUCUAAGAGCUUACUUUUUCAUUUGAUAGGAAUCCGAUUAAUCUGGUAUUUAAGUAGGUAACUUCCAAUAAUUAGAAAUUACUCUGUCUCUUCAAUAGAUACCAAUGAUUCAACGAGGUAAUGCUUGGGGUGUAUAGUGUUAUGACCAAAUAUACUUGAGCAAAGGUCGUUUCCUCAUUGUCGAGGAGCUGUCUGAUAUCUGUUAAGAUAUUUGAAUUGGUUAAUUACAGUUAGCUUAGCUUUCUGUUUAGUUAGUUAAGUGAAAUUGUUAGUAGUGCUGAUGUGGCAGUCCAGUCAGCUGAAUUUGUUAUGAUCGUUAGCUUUAAACAAACACAUUGCUCAUGUGCAGAGUGUAGAAGAUUCUAUAUAGACUCAUGUAUAAAUACUUGUAAUCCUGCUCAUUGGAGCUUAAGAUCAAUACAACGUUUUCACUCUGUUUUCUCUCUCAUUUUCUCUGCAACCAAACAACUCUUUUAUCUUUACAUGGUAUCAGAGCCAAAUUUGUAAGCUGAAAAAUGGCCUUAGCUCAUUCUAAUCAAAACGCAGUAACCUCUAUUUCUUCAUUUACGUUCACAUCACCAAUUAAACUCGAUUGAUCGAAUUAUACAAUCUGGAAGUCUCAGAUCCUUUUUUCAGUUCGUGCUAAUGGACUUGAAGAUCUUCUUGAUAGUUCAAAGUGCUAUCCAUAUCAAUUUCUUCCUCAAGAUUCUGAAGACUCAACUGAAACUCAGAUUAAUCCAGCCUUCACCGCUUGGAAGAGGAAGGAUCAAAUGCUGCUGAGCUGGUUGAUGUCAUCUAUUAAUCUCGAGAUUCUCAGCCUUGUGGUAAAUUCUGAAACCUCUCUUGAUCUGUGGAUAAGUCUUGAGCAGCAGUUUGGAUCUGAAACAUUUACUAAAAAGGUUCACCUAAAGAUAAUGCUUAACAAUCUGAAAAAAGGAUCAAUGUCUAUGACUGAUUUCUUUGGGAAACUAAAAUUGAUAACUGAUGAAUUAGCCAUUGCUGGAAAUCCUAUCAGCUCUUUAGAUUUCAUUACUCACCNNNNNNNNNNNNNNNNNNNNNNNNNNNNNNNNNNNNNNNNNNNNNNNNNNNNNNNNNNNNNNNNNNNNNNNNNNNNNNNNNNNNNNNNNNNNNNNNNNNNNNNNNNNNNNNNNNNNNNNNNNNNNNNNNNNNNNNNNNAUAAAGUUCAAAAUAUAUCUUACAUUAAUAUUGAUCCAUUACAAAGUCACAUUCAAAAUAUAAAUUAUUAAAAUAAUUAUCUUUGUCAAUGACUCCUGCUGUACCGUACAUCCGCCUUGGCCGUACAGCAGUUAUACACAAGGUCAGGGGAGAGGUAAUUGGAAUAAUAAUUGGAGUGAUAAUGGUAUGCAAACUGGAAACUAUCAAGGAAGAGGAUCAUUUCAAACUGGAAACUAUCAAGGAAGAGGUUAUGCUGGAAAUGGAGUUUAUGUUAGUGGCAAUGGCAAUGGUAACUUUGCCAGGAGUGGUGGAGGUUUUAAUAUUGGCAAGAAUUUCCUUGAUCCAAAUAUUGCCACUGUCACUUGUCAAAUCUGUUUUAAACCAAGGCAUACUACAGCUGAGUGCAGAAACAAGUUUAAUCGAGAUUUUGCUCCCUUUUAUCCAACCUUUGGCUACAAUCCAGCUCAGUCUCAAGUACCAAGAGCAGCUUUUCUUACAACUUCUGAAGGAGAAAUGGCAGAUCAAGGCUGGUAUAUUGACAGUGGGGCAACCCACCAUCUCACCAACAAUUUGCAAAAUCUGAAUCUUGGAAAAGAGUAUUCAGGUAAUCAGUUACUGCAUGUUGGUAAUGGUCAAGGAUUAUACAUCUCACAUAUUGGAUAUACCUGUUUAUCUACAUCAUGUGGCUCAUUUUUACAUUUGCAUGAUAUCUUAUAUGUUCCUCAGCUCACAAAAAAUCUGAUUAGCAUUUCCAAAUUACUUGAGAAUACCAAUUUAAUCAUUGAAUUUGUUGCAAAUAUGUGUUUUAUUAAGGACAAAAAGAGGGAAGUUCAUCUGGCUCAAGGGAUUGCUAGAGGAGGGUUGUAUCAACUGCUAUCAAAAAAUGACUUUGUCUCAAACUCUUGUAAUCUGACCUAUGGUCCUAGUUCUAUGCUUUCUAUUUUCAAUAACUCAACUUGUAAUCAUUCUGAUUCAGCUGAGAAUAAAAUUAUGGUCCUAGAUCUAUGCUUUCUAUUUUCAAUAACUCAACUUAUAAUCAUUCUGAUUCAGCUGAGAAUAAAGCUUGUAUACCUCAGUGUCAUACAAACACUGUCAAGUCAAUAAUGUCAGCAAACUUGUUUCAUCAACGUUUUGGUCAUCAUAGCAAGCAUGUAUUAAAAUGUAUUUUGUCUUCCCUGUCACUUAACUGCAAUGUUACUAUGCCUGAUUUCUGUGAUGCAUGUCAAUAUGGCAAAAUGCAUCAGCUUCCCUUUUACUCAACAGGCAUCAACACUAAAGCUCCCCUAGAACUUAUUCAUACUGAUCUUUGGGGUCCAGCACCAUUACCUUCCUCAAAUGGUUAUAGAUAUUAUAUAAGUUUUGUGGAUGACUACAGCAGAUAUUGUUGGAUAUUCCCCUUAACUCUAAAAUCCGAAGCUCUAGACACCUUCAAAUUCUUCAAAAACUUAGUUGAAAAACAAAUUGGGUGUCCUGUCAAAGCUUUACAAUCAGAUUGGGGGGGAGAAUAUAGGAAUUUUCAAUAGUUUCUUAAGGAAGAAGGGGUAGUUUUUAGGCAUAGCUAUCCUCACACACAUCAUCAAAAUGGUGUGGUAGAGAGGAAGCAUAGACACAUUGUAGAAACAGGGCUGACCUUGCUUGCUCAAGCCAAAAUACCCUUAUCCUUUUGGUGGGAAUCCUUUCAUACUGCUUCUUUUCUUAUAAAUCGAAUGCCAACACCCAUUUUAAAUAAUCAGUCACCCUUUACCAAACUCUAUGGCAGAAAGCCUAAUUAUCACUUUCUUAGAACUUUUGGCUGCUCAUGCUACCCUUUUCUCAAGCCUUACAGUAAGCACAAAUUCAAUUUUCAUACACAAAAGUGUGUCAUGAUUGGUUACAGUCCCAUACAUAAGGGGUAUAAGUGUCUUGACUCCUCUGGGAAGAUUUAUAUUGCUAGACAUGUGACAUUUAAUGAAUCUGAGUUUCCAUACUCAGAACUUUUUCCUUCCUAUAAGCCAAAUCACAAAAUACAGUUGAGUCAGUUUCUUUCUACAAAUUUCUCUCUUUCAGCAGUCAUUGAAGAUAUAAGCAACAUACAAUCCUCUCUCAGCUCUCCAAUUCCAAGUGCAGCUCCUGAUUCAAUUCAUUCUGAAACACAAUCUGUGCGAUAAUCUCCAAACACUUCAUCACAAAGCUUAGACUCCCAACCAUUAUUUGCUAAUCAGUCUACUCAGCUACAAACACAACCUUUAUCAACACCUGCUAUCCAAAACACCCAUUCCAUGGUCACUAGAUCAAAAGCUGGAGUGUUUAAACCCAAAACAUAUCUAGCAGCAGUCCAAGAGCUUGAGCCAUAUUCUGUAAAAGCUGCUUUAGCAGAUCCUAAGUGGAAGCAAGCUAUGCAAGAUGAAUAUGAAGCAUUGGAGAAAAAUGAAAUCUGGGUUCUGGUUCCCAAGGAGUCAGCAGGAAAGAUUGUUGGCAACAAAUGGGUUUUCAGAGUCAAGUAUAAAGCAAGACUAGUUGCAAAGGGGUUCCAUCAAACACAAGGUGUAGACUUCUUUGAAACCUUUAGUCCAGUUGUUAAGCAAUGCACAAUCAGAGUUAUUCUUAGCCUUGCUGUUAUGCAUAACUGGACAGUGAGACAGCUAGAUGUUAAUAAUGCGUUUCUCCAUGGCAUACUUACUGAAAAUGUCUUCAUGCAUCAACCUGAGGGCUUUGUUCAUCCUCAGUUUCCAUCACAUGUAUGUCAGCUUACCAAGGCCCUUUAUGGACUCAAGCAAGCACCCAGGGCCUGGUAUGAUAGAUUGAAAUCAUCUCUAUUGCAGUGGGGGUUCAUUGCUUCUAAGUCUGACACCUCAUUGUUUAUUCAUCAUGUGGGAGAAGACAUUGUAGUUAUACUUAUCUAUGUGGAUGAUAUCUUAAUAACUGGUUCUAACUCUAAGUUUGUAGAAGGAGUUAUAAAUAAGUUGGGGACAGAAUUUGCAUUAAAGGAUCUCGGAGAGUUUAAUUACUUUCUUGGUCUUGAAGUUACCCCAUCAGUUGAAGGAUUGCAUUUGUCACAAACUAAGUAUAUAGGAGACUUAUUGAAGAAAGCUCAGAUGUUAGAUUGCAAAGGAUGUCAAACUCCUAUGAGCUCAACAGAGAAGCUGAUUAAGAACAAAGGAGCCAUGUUUGAAAAUCCCUCACUUUACAGAAGCUUGGUUGGUUCUCUGCAAUAUGUUACUUUAACAAGGCCUGAGAUUGCAUUUACAGUAAACAAGCUUAGUCAAUUUCUUGCUUGUCCAUCAGUCUUUCACUGGCAGGCUUGUUAAAGAGUGCUGAGAUAUUUGCAGAAUACAACAAACUAUGGCCUGCAGUUCUACAGUUCUGGAUCUCUUAAUCUCACAGCUUUCUCAUAUGCAGAUUGGGGUUCAGAUUUGGAUGAUAGAAGAUCCGUAGGAAGAUAUUGUGUUUACUUGGGAAAUAGCUUGAUUUCAUGGUCUUCAAAGAAGCAACACAUAGUUUCCAAGAGUACUGCUGAGUCUGAGUAUAGAGCUUUAGCUCUAGCUGCAGCAGAGGUGCUAUGGAUUACUUACUUACUUAAAGAAUUAAAGAUGUCAUUACAGCAAACUCCAGUUAUCCACUGUGAUAACAAAAGUGCUGAAGCAUUAGCUAGUAAUCCAAAGUAUCAUUCCACGACUAAACAUAUUGAACUUGAUCUUCAUUUCAUUAGAGAACAUAUAGCCAAAAAGGAACUUCAGGUCAGCCAUGUUCCCAGCCAUGAACAAGUUGCUGAUAUACUUACAAAACCCUUGGCUUAUGAUCAAUUCAAUUAUCUGCGUUCCAAGCUCAAUGUUCUUUCUAGACCUUGAGCUUGAAGAAGAAUGUUAAGAUAUUUGAAUUGGUUAAUUACAGUUAGCUUAGCUUUCUGUUUAGUUAGUUAAGUGAAAUUGUUAGUAGUGCUGAUGUGGCAGUCCAGUCAGCUGAAUUUGUUAUGAUCCUUAGCUUUAAACAAACACAUUGCUCAUGUGUAGAGUGUAGAAGAUUCUAUAUAGACUCAUGUAUAAAUACUUGUAAUCCUGCUCAUUUGAGCUUAAGAUCAAUACAACGUUUUCACUCUGUUUUCUCUCUCAUUUUCUCUGCAACCAAACAACUCUUUUAUCUUUACAAUAUCCAAGUGUAGGAGUCAUAUGUUCAUUGUCGAGGAGCUAUCUAGUACGACUGUUAGAUGAAGCACGAGGAGACUGAAUGGUAGCUAUCAAUGGUAGCUAUCAACACGUGCAUUCUUCCCACUCGACAAUGGUUACGGUGCUCAUGUACUCACAAUGCAACACCUAAUGAAGUGACGAACAUGGGAUAAUAGAGAUCGAAUGUCCAGGCAGGUUAUAAAAGGGACAUUCGGAGAAGGUAAAGAGGUUAGACACUAUGAGGUAAAAUUUAUCUAAAAUUUAAUUCUCUUUGGCACUUUUUCUUCCCUCUUCUUGACCCUUUUUUCAAGAAUUAAAAGAUAAAAAAUCACAGAUAAGCCACGAGACUAGUGGCAUAGUUUUUCCUAAUCCCAGAUUGCUGACUUGAGUGUCAGAGGGUUUACACCAAAAAAACCUCAAGCGUCCUCUGACUGGCUGUUGUGCAUGCAGGAAGCUGCUGAUGAGAAGUUUAAGGCUCCAUUCUCUAAGAUAUCUCAACCUGGAGGAGAACAAUCUUGCUAAUUGUAGUGAUUGGUUUCAAGUAAUUGGCAAGCUCCAUUCUCUGAAAACCUUGACCUCGCACUCAUGUUAUCUUCGACCCGUUAUUCCUUUGUCUCUUAAUCACCUCAAUUUUAGUACAUCUCUUAAGACCCUUGUUCUCUCUUAUAAUAAUCUCACUUCUUCCAUAUUCCCUUAGUUGUCCAACAUCAGUAGCAAUUUUGUUUCAAUUGACCUUAGUUUUAACCAAUUACAAGGUUCAAUUCCAGAUUCUUCUCAACACAUGGUUUAUCUUGAACAUCUCAGUCUCAUGUUCAAUGAACUUGAAGGUGGGAUUCCCAAAUUCUUCGGAAACAUGUUAAACUUGUCUGAUAACAAACUCGGUGGAUAGCUCUCAGCAAUCAUUCAAAAUAUGUCGAGUGGAUGCUUGAAGAAUUCACUAGAGUCGCUGCAUUUAGAAGUCAAUCACUUCACAGGGCCAAUACCUGAUCUCGGAGGAUUUUCAUCCAUGAAAAGAUUAUAUCUUUCAGAUAAUCUUUUGAAUGGGACUAUAAACAAAAGCAUCGGUCAAAUAUUCAAGCUUGAGAUUACGUGUCUUUCCCAGAAUUCAUUGACAGGUGUUAUCUUUGAAUUUUCUUUUUUUCCCAAUAUCUCCAACUUGAAGGAAUUGCAUUUAGCUAACAACCCUUUGGUUUUGAAGCUGAGCAAUGAUUAGGUUCCUCCUUUUCAACUGAUUAUUACAAGUCGUUCCUCUUGUAAGAUAGGGCCUUAUUUUCCUAAAUGGCAUCAAACUCAGAAUCAAAUUGAGUUACUUGACAUCUCCAAUACUGGAAUCUCAGAUACUAUCCCUGAUUGAUUUUGGGAUCUAUCCAAUAAAUUCUCCUUUUUAGAUCUUGCUAACAUCCAGAUCAAGGGUAAACUUCCGGACUUGUCUUCAAGGUUUGGUACUUCUAAUCCUGGUAUAGAUAUUAGCUCAAACCAUUUUGAGGGUCCAAUACCACCACUUCCUUCAAAUUCUUCCUUCUUAAAUCUCUCUAAAAAUAGAUUCUCAAGGUCAAUUUCCUUAUGUUCUAUCAGCGGCAGCAAAUUGACGUACAUUGAUCUCUCCAGCAACUUAUUAUCAGGUAAGCUUCCCGAUUGUUGGUGGAUGUUUGAUAGUUUGGUCAUUCUUGAUUUGGGAAACAAUAGCUUCUCUGGUAGAAUACCAGACUCGAUGGGCUUCCUACAAAAUAUCCAAACACAGUUUACACAGCAACAGUUUAACCGGCGAACUGUCUUCAUCGUUUGGGAAUUGCUCACAACUCAGACUUUUGAAUCUUGGGAAGAACGCUUUGUACGGUGAGAUACCAACAUGGAUGGGGGAAAGCCUUUCAAAUUUGAUUGUUCUUAGCUUGAAAUCUAACAAAUUUCAUGGAAAAACACCUUUCCAGUUAUGCCAAUUUGCAUUCCUUCAAGUCUUGGAUCUUUCUUUAAACAAUAUAUCGGGAAAGAUACCAAAGUGUUUCAAUAAUUUUACUGCUAUGACCCAAGAAAGAAGUUCCGAUCCCACCAUUAAGGUGUACUAUUACACCUUUGUUGGCCCUCCAUAUGUACAUCACUAUAGCUUUCAGGACAAAGUCAUGCCGACAUGGAAAGGAAGUGGACGUGAGUACAGAAGUACUCUGGGGCUUAUAAAGAGCCUUGAACUUUCAAGUAACAAAUUAAAUGGAGCAGUUCCCGAAGAGAUAAUGGAUCUUGUGGGAUUGGUUGCCUUAAACCUUUCAAGAAACCAUUUGACUGGACAAAACUCUCCAAAGAUUGGUCAGUUAAAAUCAUUGGAUUUCCUCGAUUUGUCUAGAAACCAGCUUGUUGGCGGCAUUCCCUCGAGCCUUUCUCCGUUAAGUGUUCUGAGUGUCAUGGACUUGUCAUACAACAACUUGUCGGGAAAAAUUCCAACAGGCACUCAACUUCAGAGCUUCAAUGGCUCAGUGUAUGCUGGAAAUCCUGAACUUUGCGGUCUCCCACUUCCAAAUAAGUGUAGGGAUGAAGAAUCGGCUCCAGGGCCAGGCAUGACUGAAGGCAGAGAUGACGCGGACACUUCAGAAGAUGAUAUGAAGAUCAGUUUAUAACUCUCGGGUUUUAUGUGUCUUUGAUUCUUGGUUUCAUGUUGCGUUUUGGGGAGUUUGUGGCCCUUUACUUCGGAGUUAAUUAAUAAAUCGUAAAGGCUCCGUGUGACAGCAGCGAUGAAUAUUGCAAAACUACAACAACUAAACUUAAUGGUAAUACUACUUCACGUGUGGCGGUGUUUUAGUUCAUUAUGAUGAUUACAGAGGCUCACAUGCUUUUUCUUUCAUAAACUAAUGAUUCAUUGAUUUUUAUUUUUAUUUUCUCACCAAUUCUGGCAGGAGCAUUGUGUCUUUCUCGUAUCGUAUGGCAUUCUCUACAGAGAUCUCCUCCUAGCUUUCUAAAUAAUUAACUUAGUCUUCUCAUAUCAUACGUAUGUGGUACAUUAUGUAUAUGUUGGGUGAAUGCUUGAAGGAACUUCUGUAAUCUGUAUGUUUCUCUUUAGAAUUUAGAUCAUCAUCUAUAUAUGCCCAGUUAACGUUUUUAUUAAUAAUCCUUCUGUAAUUAUCACGAAAAAUGAAAUUCACUUGUGAAUGUGAUGAGACUGGUAUUUUCAAAAUACCAGCACUUUUUUUAGUUUUGGCAUUUGUUGAUUCACAAUGCCUGUCAGCUACUUUUUAAGGCAAAGCCAAAACCCCAACAAAGGAGAAAUUCUCUUUUAAUUUAUAACAAGCCAAGUAUGUGGUCUUCCAAACACACGGAAUGAGUCAAAUCAAUUUAUGGGCUAGUUGCAGUUGCAGAUUGUUUAAUUUUGAAUUGGAUUAAAUUUUAAUUUAAACUAAAUUAUUAUAAAUAAAGAAAAUUCCUAGGUGGCUGCAGAUUAUGUUGAUAAUUCAUAUAUAAUUUCUUAGUCUCUCCUCCUCUUUAGCUCUCUUCUAUUACACUCCGACAAUUAUGCGGCAUAAUUGUAAACAACAAGAAAAUGCUUUGCACCUACACAAAUUCACUUUGUCAAGAAAGUGGAGGUGGAGUGCUAAUAAUCUAAUUGUUAACUUUAGCUAUUAAUUAAUUAUUUCCACCAACAUUAAUAUAACUAUUGGCUCACAGAGCAGAUCAAGUGACCGCAUGUCUCUAUGCGCUUGUCCUAAACUCACAUGACAGCGGCUGCAGCACGUGGCUGAGAGUUUUUGUUGACAGUGGCAGCAGCAGCAGAUGACAGCAGCGAGAGCAGCAGCGACAAGCAGCAGCGACGAGCAGCAGCGAGAGCAGCAGCGACAAGCAGCAGCGACGAGCAGCAGCGACGAGCAACAGCGACAAGCAGCAGCGACAAGAAGCAGCGACGAGCGGCGGCGGCGACGAGCAAUGGGGACGAGAUUCCAGCGGCUGAAGGUCACGAGUUCGGUUUCGGUUGACGAUCAGAAGUGAUGUUUAGUUUAGACUUUAGGGAUUGCUGGAUUGUUAUUUGGUUUAUUUGAUAUUCGGUUCAGUUUUUCAGUUUUUUUUUUAAAUUGAAAACCGCACCGACUGGUUUUACUAUUUUCAUUAUAUUAUUUAUUCGGUUUUUUAGAUGUAAAAAAUCCGCACAAAAACCAAACCGAACCGAACGAUUCGGUUCGGUUUUUGAUUAAUCAGCUUUUUUUGCCCACCCCUAAUUAUGCUGCAUAUGCACUAUUGGUGGUUGUCGAAGCCUGCAAAAAUAAAUACAUACUCUAAAUAAAUUGUGUAUAGUGAUUGAGCAGGAUCAUGUCCACAGAGAUCGGUAAUUAUUUAAAUUCUUUUAAAAUGUAAAAUGCAAAAUGGGAGGAUUGUUGACAAUAAUAAAAAUCAAAUUAAAAUAACAAGAAUGCAAAUUAAAAUUGUAAUUAAAAUUGUAAUUAAAAUUGGGAAAAGUUCUGGUUGAAGGAAUUAAUUCAGCUUGAUUCGACUACUGAUCAUUGAUUCAAAUAUAAAUCAUUACUACUUAUGAAUAAACCGGUUAUAGCUACUGAUAGGGAUGGCAAUGGGGAGGGGAGGGGAGGGGAGGGGACCAAUCUCCCCAUACCCAUCCCCGAUAUUUUGUUAUGUCCCCGUCCCCUCCCCGUCCCCGUCAGAAUUACUUAAGUGAAUCCCCAUCCCCUCCCCGAAUACUAACAGGGGAUCCCCGAGGGUCCCCGGUCCCCGAAUAAUUAAUAGUCUAAUACAUUUUUUUUUUCGAUUUUAAAUUAAUCAUAUUAAAAUAAAAAAUUCAGAUAAAAAUAAAGUUCAAAAUAUAUCUUGCAUUAAUAUUGAUCCAUUUCAAAGUCACAUUCAAAAAUAUAAAUUAUUAAAAUAAUUAUCUUUGUCAAUGACUCAAUCUUCAUAAUCCUACAAUAAAAAGAAAAAAAAUUAUUUUUAUAUCGACAAUAAAAUAAAUGUAGAUACUUAAUUAAUAUUUUUAAUAAAACUAUUUACCUCCUGCUCCUCCAGUUCUUCCUCGAGAAAUGUGGCAAAUUGAGAGCUAACCUCAGAUUUCAAACCUAAAACAAUGAAAAUGAUAUAAGUAACGUAACUUAUAAGCGCAAAUAUUAAUAACUGUAUAAUAUAAUUACAAUGUAAAAUAAACUCAUACUGCUAUUGUAAGCUCGUAACCAACUUUGACAGCAUAUUAAGGCCUCCAAUGUGCUUGGAUGAAGUUUGUUACGGUGUGAGCUCACAACUCUACCACCGGUGCUAAAAGCUGAUUCAGAAGCAACUGUUGUAAUUGGAAUUGCCAAAAUAUCUCUAGCAAUUCGAGCUAAUGUAGGAUACGAAUUAGGAUUAGAACUGUUGUAAAUUAUAAUUAGGCAGCUCUCUCCUGUAUCAUUGUGGUUUGGAUUAAAAAUUUAAGACUUUAAUUAGUUAAUUAAGUUUAAAAGUUUAAUAAUAUAACUAUUUUAAUAUUUAUUAUUUUUAACAAUAUUUAUAAUUUUGUUAUUUAUUUAUUAGUAAUUUUAAAAAUAAAAAUAAAAUUAAAAAUUAAAAUGGGGAAAUGGGUAGGGGAUGGGGAUUCCACCUCAUCCCCGUCCCCUCCCCGAAUAAAAAAUUGGGUAAAAAAUUUUCCCCGUCCCCUCCCCGAAUAAAAAAUUGGGUAUAAAAUUAUCCCCGUACCCUCCCCGAAUGGGGAAAAUCCCCGAGGGUACCCGUCCCCGUGGGGAUUUUUGCCAUCCCUAGCUACUGAGACCCUUUAAUAGCCAAUCUCUCUUUAACUAGUCGAUAACUAAGGUACGACCAUUGGUUAUUUCCCUAAUUAAUAGAUAACCCUAGAUACAAUCAUAGGAUUUAAUUAAUUGACAACCUGAAAAAUCAGAGAGACCCAAAUCCUAAUCAACAAACGCAUACGAUGGUUCAUUUAAAUUAGAUUGUUUAUUCUCAUAACACAACGCACUGCUAUGCUAUUUGUCACAAAUAUUAAAAUCUUCAUACGAUGAAUCUUUUAAUUGACAAUAGAUUAAGUUGAUAAUUAAAUAGUGGCCAAUUAUCUAAUUAACAAAUAUAAUCAUGACAAUAAUUUAGAGAAUAAACAAAUACCCAAAAAGCAAUAAAACAAUUAAAGCAUAAGAAAGAUCUCACAGUAAUGAUGAACCAAAGCUUUAUUAAUCUUCAACCAGAAUAAUAGGUUUAGUUCUUCAUAGAGAGAAGAGAAAAAUUUAGAUCUAGGGUUUCUUUUUCUUUCCCCUUCAAAAAAUCUACCCCCUUUGUUUUUCACGUCCCUUUUCUUUCCUAGCUUUUCCAAAAAUAAAAUACUAAUAUCUAAAGUAUUAUCUAAAUAUUAAAUUCAAAAUUACAAAAAUAACCAAAAAGAUAAAACACGUUAAAAUAAAAACUGCAGGUCCUUAGUUGACAACACGCGCCCACGCCUUAUUAACAAAGUUUUUCUGAAGCUCAUAAUUUUUUCAGGAAAACAAUCAUCCUCAAACAUCAUCUUGUAGCUCAAUUUUAGCACCAAUCAAUAGAAUUGCACCUACAAAAAUAAAACACAAAUAAAUCAUUGUUAUUAAGAGCAAAACAUUGAUAUUAAAGGAAGUAAACAAUGCAAAACUAGUGCAUAAAUUGCACUCUAACAACCAUAUUACGUUUAAUAUUUGAUGUUCUAAAUUGUACUCCAACCACUCUGCCAGGAAACACGAUAAUAUAUUUUACUUUCGUUGUUCUGAAUCGCACUCCAUUUAAUUGACUUCUCAUUUUAUAUAUAAGUAUUUUAAAAAAAAUAUGUAGACAUCGUGGAUGGAUCUAUGGGCCAUUUAUGUAUUAUGAUAGCUUUUAAAAGGAAAAUUAUCACUGCACCAUAUUUUUUUUGCCUUAUGUUCAUUCAACCAUUACAAAAUUCUAACAUGUUCUCUGUAUCAUCUUUCUUUUUAAAUUUGUAUCAAUUAACCACUUUUGCCCUAAUACUCUUAAAUAAUUUAAACGAAAUGACAAUUUUACCCCUAAAUAAAUUAAAAGACCAUUUUAUCUUAUAAAAGUUUGAAAAAUAAAAAAAAUUAUAAUUAUAAAAAUACCCCUAAAUUUUAAAAAAUAAAUCCAAAAUAGAGGUGCUUAGUUGAUUUUUAUUAAAUUUAGAUUUUGCAAAAUUUUAAUUAUUAUUUUUAUUAAAAAUUUAUAAUUUUCAAAAUUAUAAUAAAAAAUAACUGAAUUUAUUUAUUAAAAAUUAUAAUUUUGUAAAAUUUUAUUAAAAUAACUGAAUUUAUUUAUUAAAAAAUAAAUAUUCAAAUAGGGGUAUUUUUAUAAUUAUAAUUUUUUUAUUUUCAAAACUUUUACAAGAUAAAAUGAUCUUUUAAUUUGUACAAAUAAUAAGUUGUGGAAGAAUUAAUUAAAUGUUUAUAAGAAUGCAAGUUAUUGAAAUGAAUAUAAUGCUGAAUAAAAUUUACUUGCACAUUUAUAAGCAUGCAUAAAUAAUUUUUUUUGUAUUUUAUUAAUUUUAUUUAUGUUAUUUUGUUAUCUCAAUAUAAAUGGUGAUAAUAAUAAUCUCUUUAAGUGCCUGUUUGAUAUGACUUAUUUAAUGGUUAUAAGUGUUUAUUUAAUCUCAUAAGCUCUAAUCAUAAUAUUUGUUAUUUUUUAUUGCUUUUUUAAUAGAGCAUUUGAAGCUUAAAUAAAAUGUUUUGCCUUUACUAGUAAAAGCUUAAAUUUUGGAUUUUUGAGAGUAGAUGUUGAAAAAUUAUUUUUAAAUAUUAAAAUAUCUAAAAUAUCCUCUAUUUAUUUAAUAAUCUUAUUUUAUUCUUUUCAUAACAUAACUUUAAAAAGUUUGCUUAUUAAAGUAAUUUCAUAAAUUUUUAAUAAAAGCUCUUAUUGACAACCAAACGACUAAAAUUUUUUAGGUAAAAGCUCUAUUAAUAAAUACUCUAAUUAAAUAAAUUUUACUAGAAAAGUUGUACCAAACGGAGCCUACAAUAAUGAUAAUAUUUCCUUAUUGAGUUAGAAUAAUUUUAGAUUUUUAUAAUAUAUGUAAGGUUAUAUAAAGAAUAGUAUUAAAUAUAAAUGAUAAUAAGGAUAAUUUUGGCUUUUACCUAUCGUACGCUUGGCACAACUGAUUUCUACACCCCGAUUAUCGCUGCCGUUUCAUAUUAAUUAAUAGGAAAUAAUGUUGUUAAAGUGGGUGGUCGCUUCGCAGGAUUCGUACAAAAUGUGAACGAAGAAGAGAAUUUCCCAAGAAAACUGUCAGUAAAAGUUAAAGGAUUCAAGACUAGAGAUGCUAAGCUACAUACGUACAAAGUAAUAAUAAUAAUAAUGGAAGACAAAACAUAUACAUAUUAAUAGACUUGUUGACUAGUAAAUUUUUUAAACGGAUGAUGAUACUAAUAACUAAUAUUCAAACCAGAAUAAUGUUACCAAUAAAGUAGGUGGAAGGUUCGCAUGAUUCACGAUCAUUGGUACUGAAAUGUGAACGAAGGGAAUUUUACAAGAUUUGCUCUUACUCUAUUCGAUCUUUUUAUUAAUCAAAUUUCUAUGUAGAUGACAUAUAAUGAUAAUAAAAGGCUAAAAUAUUGUUUUCGUAGAAGACUAUUGACAUCAGUGAAGACUCUGUUGUUGAUAUACAAGUAUUAAUUGGCCUGGAUUCCUGAGGUUUCAGAUAUCAAGCAUUGAAAACAAAUAUUCACAAUGUCAUCCAAAUGGUUCCUUUUACUUCAAUAUAUAGCUUUCUGUUCUGUGAUUUUGUUUCAACCGCAGCCAAGAGUUGUAAUUGCAGAUUCUAACAAGACAAGGUGCAUAGAUGAGGAGAGAGAGGCACUUCUCACUUUCAAAGCUAGCCUGGUGGAUGAAUCUGGCAUUUUGUCUUCAUGGAGACGAGAAGAUGAGAAAAGAGACUGUUGUAAAUGGACAGGUGUCGGCUGUAGCAAAAGAACCGGCCAUGUAAACAAGCUUGAUCUUCAACCAAUCGGUUUUGACUCAUUUCCUUUGAGAGGUAAAAUUACUCCCGCUUUGCUCAAAUUGCAACAUUUAACUUACUUGGACCUCAGUCGGAAUAAUUUCAGUGGAAGUUCAAUUCCCGAGUUCCUUGGUUCCCUCGGCAAAUUGAGCUAUCUCGGUCUCUCUAGUGCUGAGUUUGCUGGACCAAUUCCUCAUCAGCUUGGAAACCUUUCAAGGUUGCAAUUUCUUGACCUCAGCUUCAAUAAUUUGUUUAGUGGUGAGAAUCUUGAUUGGCUUUCUCAUCUUUCUUCUUUAAUUUAUCUUUACUUGGAUUUGAACGAUCUCAGUAAUUUCAGCAACUGGGUUCAACUACUCAGCAAGCUCCAUUCCCUAACAACCUUGUCCUUGUACUCGUGUGAUCUUCCACCAAUCAUUCCUUCAUCUCUUUUGAACCUCAAUUCUAGUAAUUCUCUUGAGGUUAUUGAUCUCACCGAAAACAAUCUCACGAAUUCAGUAUACCCUUGGUUGUUCAAUGUUAGUAGCAGUCUUGUUGAUCGUAUAAGCCUUCCUUCUAACCAAUUACAAGGUUCAAUCCCAGAAGCUUUUGGACGCAUGGUGUCUCUCAGAUAUCUCGAUCUCUCUUCUAAUGAAUUGAGAGGGAUUCCAAAAUUUCUUGGAAAUAUGUGCGGUUUAAAAAUAUUAUACUUGUCUGGCAAAGAACUCAAAGGGCAGCUCUCUGAGUUCAUUCAAGAUUUGUCUAGUGGCUGCACAAAGAACUCACUGGAGUGGCUGCAUUUAUCUUCCAAUGAAAUCACAGGGUCAAUGCCUAAUCUCGGAGAAUUUUCAUCUUUGAAACAAUUGAAUCUUGAAAAUAAUCUUUUAAACGGGACUAUACACAAAAGCAUUGGCCAAUUGUUCAAGCUUGAGAUGUUGAAACUUAAUGGAAAUUCACUCGGAGGUGUCAUCUCCGAAGCUUUGUUUUCAAAUCUUUCCAGGUUAGCGGCAUUGGACUUGGCAGAUAACUCAUUGACGUUGGAAUUUAGCCAUGAUUGGAUUCCACCUUUUCAACUGAAUACUAUAUCUCUUGGCCAUUGCAAGAUGGGGCCUCGUUUUCCAAAAUGGCUUCAAACUCAGAGUCAAAAAUUUUUCGCUUGAUAUCUCGAAUGCCAAAAUCACAGAUACUGUCCCAAAUUGGUUUUGGGAUCUUACUCAUCAACGAAUGCUUUUAAAUCUCUCAAGCAACCAGAUGAGAGGUAAAGUUCCAGAUUUGUCUUUGAGAUUUGAUAUUUCUGGUCCUGGUAUUGAUAUUAGCUCAAACCACUUUGAGGGUCCAAUUCCACCACUUCCUUCAAAUGCUACAUCCCUAAAUCUCUCCAAAAAUAAAUUUUCAGGAUCCAUUUCCUUCCUAUGUUCCCUCAGUAACAGAUUAAUAUAUCUUGAUCUCUCAAAUAACUUACUAUCAGGAAAGCUUCCUGAUUGUUGGUUCCAAUUCGAUAGCCUUGUCAUUCUUAAUUUGGCUAACAAUAACUUUUUUGGUAAAAUACCAAACUCAAUGGGCUUCCUACAUAAUAUCCGGUCAUUGAGUUUGUACAACAGUAACUUAACUGGCGACUUGCUUUCAUUUCUAUGAAUUUCUCACAACUGACACUCAUGGAUCUUGGGAAGAAUAGAUUAUCAGGAGAGAUACCCACAUGGAUAGGUGAAAGCCUUCCGAAAUUGGUCGUUCUCAGUUUAAAAUCUAACAAUUUCCAUGGAAAUAUACCCUUUCAGUUAUGCCAUCUAUCCUACAUUCAAAUCUUGGAUAUUUCUUCAAACAAUAUAUCGGGAACCAUUCCCAAGUGUUUCCACAAUUUUACCGCCAUGACUCACACAACAAGUUCCAAUCGCUCCAUUACCUCCUACUAUCACUACAAUCUUGGCGAUGAAAACGUGCAAAUGCCGGGAAUCUAUUUUGACACAACAUAUUUGACAUGGAAAGGAAGUCAAUACGAGUACAAAAGUACUCUGGGACUUGUAAAGAUCCUCGACCUUUCAAGUAAUAAGUUAGGUGGAGGAGUUCCUAAAGAGAUUAUGGACCUUGUGGGAUUGGUUGCCUUGAACCUUUCGAGAAACAAUUUAACUGGACAAAUCACUCCAAAGAUUGGUCAGUUAAAAUCAUUGGAUUUCCUCGAUUUGUCUAGAAAUCAGUUUUUUGGCGGCAUUCCUUCAAGCCUUUCUCAGUUAAGUGGUCUCAGUGUCAUGGACUUGUCAUACAACAACUUGUCGGGCAAAAUUCCAUUGGGCACUCAACUCCAAAGCUUCAAUGAAUUGGUGUAUGCUGGAAAUCCUGAACUUUGCGGCCUCCCACUUCGAAAUAAGUGUCCGGAUGAAGACUCAGCUCCAAGUCCAGAGAGAGAUGAUGCAAACACUCCAGAAGGGGAGGAUCAGUUGAUAACUUUUGGGUUCUACGUGAGUGUGAUUCUUGGUUUCUUUAUUGGAUUCUGGGGAGUCUGCGGCACUUUACUGGUGAAUACUUCGUGGAGACAUGGUUACUUCAAAUUCCUAACCAGUGUGAAAGAUUGGGUCUAUCUGAUAACAGUUGUGAAUAUUGCCAAACUGCAAAGAAGGUUCAGGGAUUAAACGGUAAUACUCAUUCACAUGUUAAGUGGGUUUAAUUUAUGAUAUAGUUGGCUCACUUCUUAUUGCUUCACAUAUUUUUCUUUCCCAAACUGAUGCCUCCUUUUUUGGUUUCUUUGCUUUCACUGGUUCUUGCAGGAGCAAUUAAAUCUGUCUCUCAGAUGGCAUUCCGUCUUUCUUGCUCGGAGUUUACGUUCCAGGGUCAAAAGCUUUGUAACUAAUGUGUGCUUGAAGGAGCUUGUAUAUUGUUCUGUUUAGCCCAUGUUCUACUCUUACACAUAAGCUUUGGCGAACGUUUGAAAUGUAACCCGUCGUCAAAUUGUCCUCUGUUAUGGAUCAAUAUGUUUUAUUUUCAAUUUGCUUGGGUGAAUAAACCUUUUGAUUAUUGCUGAGUACAAAUCAGCUCUCAUGCUUUCUGCUGACUAUAAGCAUAUCUUAAAGUGUAAUUUCGAAUAUCAAACUGUUUUCAACUGAUUUUGGGGUAGGAAAAUCCAAAAUCAAUCUAGAACAAUAAAUUUAUAUUUUUGGGGGAGAUGGGGUACCUCACUAGUUUAUUUUGUGCGGUGCGGUGUAUCUGAAAUUCGGGGGAGGUGAGAGGGGGAGAAAGAGUGGUAACAAUGGUGAAAGGUCAGAAACGAGAGAGGUGUCCUUCCAAAUGAGUUUCACGCCUGCAAAACAGUGAAAUAGAGGUUAGAGGUGAAGCCGGGGUACCCCGGCGUUCACACUCCGACGCUCAAGUUAGCAAACUCAAGCUUUAAUGGUAAAGAGAGCUGGCCAGCCCUCUGUAAAUUUAGGGUUUAAGGUUGAAGAAAACCUAUUUUUUGGAGUGUGAGUGUUAAUGGUGAGUGAGAGCCUGGUGGAGAGUGAAACCUAGGCGCCUUUAUAUAUGGAGUACCUUAGCUGCCACGUGGCGUACCCCUUUUUGGCUAACGUCCUUUUACCUCUUUAUAAUUUUUUGGGCCGUUAUCUGCAUGUUCGCGGCAUAUCUCAUCUUUUGGAAACGUGGCGCGCGCUGGAGAGUGGUCCGGGGUACCUCUGCAGUAGCUGUCGGGUAGGCGGCUAGGGACCACUGUCCUUGGAACAGUGUCCUUCACUUUUGGCAGAGGUGGCAGGCGGCUGUCCCUCCUUUUAGCACGUCAUUUUUUAUCCUUAAUUCUGACAAAAUCGAAUAAUAUCUUUUAGGAGGCGGAGGCGUUUCUCAUGGCGGAUAUUUUUUGGAGAUACCUCGAGUUACGUGGGGUACCUCUAAUUGUACGAGGUACCUCUAUUUGUGUGGGGUACCUCUAUUUGUGUGGAGUACCUCUAAUUAUGCGGGGUACCUCAAAUUGUGCCGGAUUCAUUCCAUUGGUUGACACGUGGCGCUCUAUUGACUUUCCUAUUUUUCCCUCAAACAACAUCCCCCUAGUUUCUUUUUGGCGAGAAGUAUUGGAGGCAAAAGAAACUCAUUGUAUGAGUGACACAUGGCGACGCGGCUGGACCGGAGGGUACCUUGCUUAGCUUCUUUCCUUGACUAAACUUUGUGUACUUCAAACUAAAAAUUUUCUCUUUGUCUAUUCCUUUUCCCGCUUUUUUUUUUUUUUUGACGAUGAGAAUGAACAGUUUUCUUCAUGUGUCUUUUUCCUUUUUCUUGGGAAGUGGCAGUCGUCUGACAUGUAGUUUGAAUUUUGAAAAUAUCAAUCUCACACAAACAUCCAUGAAUUCUUUUCUCGGGCAGCGUGUUCUGUCAGGUUGAAUUAAAACUCCUGACUUGUGUCAAUCUUCUCUCACUUAUUUUGAAAAUCCCCAAACGAACUCCCAAAAUUUAAUUUUUUCCAGUAGCCUUUUUCUUCUAUAAUUUCGUCUCUUCUUCUAACUGCAUCAACAUUAUCACAGGUAAAAACAAAAAUUUCUUUACUCUUUUUUUUUUUUUUACUUUCGUUCGUCUUCCCCUAGGUUUUAUUCUUUCUUCCCUCUUUUUCUUUCUGCUGUACCGUACAUCCGCCUUGGCCGUACAGCAGGGCCGCUCAACUGUUCGAGCGCAAUGCAGUUUUCUCUUCUUUUCCUUUCUUCUUUCUUCUUUUUUUUUCCUUUCUCUUUCUCUCUCGGUCGGCGUUGAUCCGGUGCGUUUUCCGGCGUGGACCUCGGCUGCUGCAGUGGCGGUUUUGGGCUCCAGAUCUGGUCGGUUCAAGGCGAUUUUUCGGCGUCUCACGGCGAGAUCUUGGUCCGGUGAUACACACGGUAAACCUCCCUCCUUGUGUCUUCAUUUUAUCUUGCGUUCUCUCUCUUAUUUCUCUCUUUUUUGCGAUCUUCAGCGCCGGAUUUGGUGGUUGCAGCCAUGGCAGCCGGUUCUUCUUAAUGGUUGUAGCUUCUCAGUUUUCUCUUCUUCUUUCUCUUUUUUUUUUGUUUCGAUCGGUGCUUUUCUCUGUGAUUUCCGGCGUCGGUUUGGUGUGGUUGCAGUCCCCCCUUCCGUGUUGUCUUCUCUGUUCUUCAUUUUUCUUUUUUUUUUUUGGCCGGCGUCCUCCUUUGGUGGUUUCCGGCAUCCUUCUCGUGAUCUCCAGCGUCGGUUCUCGGUGGUUGCAGCCAUGACAGCCGACGCCGGUUGCUGCAGCUUCUUCGUUCUUCAUUUUAUUUAUUCAUUUAUUUAUAAAUAACUAUAUAUAUUUAAGCUUAUUUUUAUUUUUAUACUUGCAUAUUUUUACCCACUAUUUUUGGUUGCCUGCAGCUUCAUUUCGCCGCGAUUAUCAAUCCCGAUCUGCUAAAUUGGUGAAUCACAGGUAUCCCUCCUCGCUUCUCCUCCUUUGGCGCAUUCACAGUGACCCUAUUUUGCAUACUCUGAGAAAAUUUUAUUUUUGGUUUUUUGUUGUUUUUUGUUUUGUUGGUUGGUGUUUGCAUUUGGUGGUUGAUGUGUGGUGGAUGGUGCUUGGUAUGGAUAUAUUGCUGUUUGGAAAACAUGUGGCUUGUGGAUGUGUUGUUGGGUGUAUCGUUUGAAAGGGAUGGUUUGUCGCUGAGGGUAAGUGGGGGACAGAGACUCUGGGUGAGAAGGGCGACCCCGUGGAGGUUCCCCAUUCAUUCAAUGUAAACUGUAAGUAUCUCCCUUACUUAUGGUUCUUUAUCAGAAUCUUUCGCCUGAAUGUCUCGCUAACCUUGAGUUCUUUAUGCUUUCGCAGGUGUGACAUGGGCUAAAGGAUCAUGCCCAGUUCAGGAGGUGGGGAGAGAGGUGAAGAAAUUUGUGGACAGGCUUCGAGGUGCACAAAGGGGUAGUGAUGUGCUAGAUGAGAGCCGAUUAUGGAGAGCGGGGCUGAUUGACCGAAGUCCUCCGCCUGCUCCUGGGGGUGACUCAUGUAUGAUUUGGGUGUCGGGGGGUAUCCUAUUGUUACUUAUGGGACUGGGGUACCCCAUUAUCAUUGCAUUCUUCGUUUCGCUUCCCCGCUUUCCAUUUCCUAUUUUUUACUUUUGCAGUACUUAGUACUUGUCCAGCUAACAUAACUUUUGUGCAUUGGGUGCAGUCAUGGAAUCGACGGGUGAUGCUUUUGACGCCUUCUUCCAAGCGGUGGUUACCUCCAAGGUUGCUGAAGAGGUUGACAAGAUGAGCUUGAGCCAGCGUUACGGUCAAGCACUUAGGGCUACCCAAGAGGUAGGCUUUCUCGGGGUACCCCGGGUGUACUCUUCAUCAUUUUCUUUUUACUUAUUUAAUCUUUUUGUCAUAUACAUAUAUUUAACAUGUCUUUCAUGACCCGCAGGCAUCCUUUCUCCUAAGCCACUGCCUUCCGGAUCUCAACUCCCUUGUUGUCGCACAGUCAGAGGUCGACAAGUUAAGGAGUGAGCUUCAAAGCCGUCAAUCUCGUGAGGAUCAGCUCGCUCGAGAAGUUAAAACUCUACAAGAAUGCAUUGCUGGCCUAUCGGGAGAGAAAGCUAGGGUGGAGAAGGAUUGUGAGGAGUUGAGGGCCACUAACGGGGAUCUGAUAUCUCGGCAAAAGACGAUGGCGGAGGAUGCAUUCUCACUCAUCAUGACGGAGGUGUGGAGUGUGGAUCCGGAGUUGGAGGUACCCCGGGUGCAGAAAUUUGUCAACAAGGCUACGAUUCUAAAGACAAUUGCAGAGAGGAAGAAGCCUUCCCAACCACGGUCGGGUACCCCUUCCGGGUCGCCUAGGGUACCCCAUCAGCUUCAGCUGUUGCCUGCUUCGGAUGCCCCUACUUCGGCUGCUCAUAUUCCGGGUACCUCGGAGUCCUCUGCUGAUCUCCCUCUGGAGACGGAUGUUGGGGAUGGCGUUCCCCCCUCGGUGUAGCCUUCUCACUAUGCUCUUGUUUUUUCGGACCUAUCCACAUUUUGCUAUUUGGACCUUGUUUCUUUCUUUUUGGUUUCUCGGGAUAUUUUGUAUUAUUGGGACUUCUCUUUUGUUAUGAUACCAUGCCAUCGAGUUCUCUUGUACUUUGUAUGCUUGUUAUUCUGCCAAUGAAUGCUUGACUAAACUGUUACCUUGUAAAUGUCUAGGGUACCUCUCAUUUUUUUUGAAAUGGGGUACCCCUGGUACCUUAACAAAUAUCCAACAUCAUGGGGAUUCCCUACAAAUGUGGUGCAUGUCCUUCUCAGAAACUAUGGCGGAUUCCCCACAAAUAGGUAAUCAAAAUAUCAUCGCAACAUCUCGAUCAAACGUUGAAAGCUACAAAUGUGGUGCAUGUCCUUCUCGNNNNNNNNNNNNNNNNNNNNNNNNNNNNNNNNNNNNNNNNNNNNNNNNNNNNNNNNNNNNNNNNNNNNNNNNNNNNNNNNACAUCUCGAUCAAACGUUGAAAGCGCAAUUGGUCCAACCAAUCACUUUCUUAUUCUUUCGAAGUUUUCUCUGAAUUUUUUAAAUAGCCUACCCCAUACUUUGUAAAAGUACGAGGACGGAGGUGUGGGUGUUCUCAUACCUAAGCCGAACUUCGUGCCGCUAGGGUAUGCCGGUUUUUCUUCACCCUCGGGUCCUCUUUGACCCUCCAUUUCUUUGUCUAGGUAGCUUUAUCAUGCUUCCGCAGAAAGGCUACCCCCGGGCUGUUCCCUUCGUUGCCCAUCUUGGGUUUACAUAGAUCGUCACGAUCUAGGCAUAUCAGGUACCCUGGCUGGUCCUGUGAUAAGUUAGUCAUAAUUGACAAACGUAUGGCGAGAAUUGCAUAUUACCAGAUGCGAGGGUAUAUUAAUGGCGAUAAAUGAAUAUAAUCCGCACUCUAAGAUCGAAGUGGAGAAAAAUAAAUAAAGAACCCACACCAUAUUUGUUGAGAAAGAACAUGCAUUUAUAGAUAACGAAAGCGUUGAUCAAUACAUGACUUAGCUUUGUUACCCUGAUGAGAAUGGGAGACCGCAAGACCUCCUAUCCCUUUCAUUUGACAAUUAAAGAAACUCUAAAGUUGCAACUGACCAACAUAGGGCAUUUGGGGUACCCCAUUUGGCCUACCACACAAAAACAUUAAAGAAAGCAAAUAACAGCAAAAGACUAAAGGUUGAGACACUGUCCUUUAGUAAUAUUUCCGUAGCAUUGCAGCGUUCCAGGGGUGCCUCACAAUUGUGCCAUCCAUGUGGAGUAGCCUGUAUGCACCUGUCCCAACGGGUUUGUCGAUGCAGUAAGGUCCUUCCCAAUUUGCCCCAAAAGCACCUUCGCAGGGUACCCUAGUGUUAUGAGUUACCCUUCUCAAGACCAAGUCUCCUUUCUUGAAGGAUCGAGGGCGUACCCUUUUUUCAUAUAGACCCGAAAUGCGAUGCUGAUAUAUGGUUGUCCUCAGUUCUGCUCUAGCCCUUUUUUCAUCCACCAAAUCAAGGUUUGAAGCAACCAAUGAGGUGUUCUCGGCCUCAUCGAAGUAUUCAACCCUGUGAGAGGGUACCCCGAUUUCUGCUGGAAUCACUGCGUCAACACCGAAUGCGAGGGAAAACGGGGUCUCCCUAGUGGAGGUGUUUUGAGUAGUCCGGUAUGCCCACAGUACGCCAGGUAGCUCGUCUACCCAUGCUCCCUUUCUUUCUUCUAGCUUCUUCUUCAGGAUACCUUUGAUAAUCUUGUUAACGGCUUCGACUUGCCCAUUAGAUUGGGGGUGGGCAGGUGUAGCAAAUCGGUUGGCUAUCCCCAACUCCGAACAAAAGCUUCAAAAUUUUUCAUUAUCAAAUUGCUUACCGUUAUCACUGAUAAUUGCAUAGGGGAUUCCAAAUCUGCAAAUGAGGUUCUUCCAAAUGAAUUCGGUGGUUUUCCUUUCUGUGAUGCUUGUUAGUGGCUCCGCUUCCGCCCAUUUUGUAAAAUAAUCUACCGCCACGAUUGCAUGUUUUGCUUGCCCCUUCCCGGUAGGUAACGGGCCAAUGAGGUCCACUCCCCACAUAGUGAAGGGCCAAGGAGAAGAUAUAACUGUUAGCUUCUCUGGGGGUAGGUGGGGUACCCUAGCGAACCUCUAGGAGAUCAAUGCUGGGGGCGGGUAUGUGUUCUAUUGUGAUGGGGCCAGCUGACUGAGCUACACCAAGGGACGCCAUUUUUGCUAGGGUAUCAGCUUCGCUGUUCUCCAGUCGAGGUACCCUUUCCACUUUAACCUCGCAAAAUUGGGAUAUCAACUCUCUGGUUUUUUCGAGGUACCCCUUCAUGUUUUCCUCUUUCGCUUGAUAUUGUGCGGUAAUCUGGCUUACCACCAACUGUGAGUCACUCUUGACGUGUACCCUUUUUGCUCCCAAAGCCUUUGACAUCCUCAACCCCGCUAUGAUUGCCUCGUACUCGGCUUCGUUGUUUAAGGCCUUGAAUCCGAAUUGUAGGGCGUAGCAUAAUUUCACCUUGUUCGGGUCGAUUAUAAUAACUCCCACGCCACUUCCGUGCGAGUUAGAGGAACCAACCACAUAUAUUUUCCAGACCUGCUCCUCUUCAUCGGUAGGUGGGGUAUCUAACAGGUAUCUCAAAUCACAUUCACCACUUGAGUCAUUGGCGAAUUCCGCAAUGAAAUCAGCAAUGGCCUGAGCUUUAAUCGCCGAACGAAGCUUGAAGAUGAUGUCGAACUCGCUUAAUUCGAGGGACCAUCGGAGAAGCCUUCCGGACAUGUCUAACUUCUGAAGGAUUUGCCGGAGGGGAAGGUUGGUGACGACUGCAAUGGUGUGAGCCUGAAAAUAUGGUCUGAGCUUCCGUGCGGAGACAACCAAUGCCAAAAUGAUCUUCUCAGAGGUGGGGUACCUCUUUUCGGCAUCAACCAUAGCCUUACUAGUGUAGUAAAUAGGUCGUUGUACCCCAUUAUCAUCCUCUCGGAGUAACACAGAGCUGGUGGCAUGCUCGGAUACGGCGAGAUAUAGCAGCAGCACCUCUCCCGGCUCAGGUUUGGCAAGUAGUGGAGCAUUCACGAGGUACCCCUUCAGUUCUUGGAAAGCCUCUUCACAAUCGGGUGUCCAUUGGAGCUUUUUAUCGGUCUUCAAAGCUUUGAAAAAGGGCUUACACCGGUCGGUAGCCUUGGAGAUAAAGCGGCUCAGAGCAGCUACCCGGCCUGCCAAGCUUUGAACCUCCUUGAUGGUGCUUGGCAAUUUCAUGUCAAGAAUUGUGCGAAUUUUAUCGGGGUUGGCUUCAAUCCCCCGUUGUUGUACCAUGAACCCGAGAAACUUUCCUGAGGUUACCCCGAAUGCACAUUUUUCAGAGUUAAGCCGCAUCUGAUGUUUUCUCAAAACGGUAAAGGUAUCUCUGAGGUGCCCCAGGUGUUCCCCCGCAUGCACCGAUUUGGUGAUCAUGUCGUCUAUGUACACCUCCAUGGUGCGCCCGAUUUGUUCUUUGAAAAUUUUGUUCACUAGCCGCUGAUAGGUAGCCCCGGCAUUCUUCAAACCAAACGGCAUAACCUUAUAACAGUAUAACCCCCGGUUGGUGAUGAAGGCUGUUUUCUCUUGAUCGGGUUCGUACAUCGGGAUUUGGUUGUACCCGGAGAAGGCAUCCAUAAAACUAAGCAUUUCAUGCCCAGCUGUUGCAUCAACCAGCUGGUCCACCCGAGGAAGCGGGAAGCUAUCCUUGGGGCAGGACUUAUUCAAGUCGGUGAAGUCCACGCACAUGCGCCACUUUCCGUUUGAUUUCUUGACAAGAACAACGUUGGACACCCAAUCGGGGUACACUGCUUCCCGAAUAAACCGUGCUGCUAAUAGGCGGUCUACCUCUUGUUCAAUUGCAUCGUACCUCUCUUGAUUGAAGGCGCGACGCUUCUAUUUGACCGGUUUAUUAUGCGGGCUGACAUUGAGUUUGUGACAAGAGAGAGAAUGUGGGAUACCCGGCAUAUCCGAGUGGGACCAAGCAAAUACAUCGAGAUGCUCACAUAGGAAGGUGAUGAGUUUCUCCCUUUGUUCCUCCGAGAGGUUGGAGCCUACUUUCAUUGUCUUUGUUGGGUCGGUGGCGCAAAUCGAGACUGAAAUAAGAUCUUCAAUUAGGGUACCCCGCAUUUCAUCUUUCAAUAUUCGGGGAUCCAAAGGUGCCUCAACUUCACAUCUGGGCUCCUCUUGGUCCCCAUGGGGUACCUUGGAGCUAUCCCUCGUAACUGCUUCCAUCCCCCUUAGUGAAAACUCCAACUUUUCUCGUGGGUGGGCUACUUGAGGAGAUUUUUUCAGUACUGUUCUCCGCUGUCUAGCAAGUGCUCGCUUUGAGGGGGAAGGUGUGGGCUGGCUGCCACUAGGGUACCCCUUCAUUGGCGGAUCUGAAGCUAUUUGGUAAGUGACUUUGGAGCUAGGGUACCCCUUCAUUGGCGAAUCUGAAGCUAUUUGGUAAGUGACUUUGGAGGCCAUGGAAUAACAUCCACGAGCCGAUUGCUGGUCCCCUUUAAUGGUGAUCUGCUCUUGGGCGGCCGGGAUUUUCAUGGCGAGGUAGUACAUGGAUACCACCGCUUUAGUUGCUACUAAGAACGGCCUACCCAAUAUAAUAUUGUAGGCACCCGGGUGAUCUACAAUAAGAAAAUCAAUCAUAUGAACAACACGGUGAGGUACCUUACCAAGUGUAACGGGCAGCGUAAUGAUGCCUUUUGGUAUAACCAUAUCUCCGGCGAACCCAAUAAGAGGCGUAGCAUAUGGGGUGAUCUUUAGCGACUCAAUCAAUAGUUGAUCCAAGGCGCUUUUGAAAAUGAUGUCAACGGAGCUACCGGUAUCUACGAGAGUUCUUGCUACCUUACCAGUGGCAACCUUCAACGUAAUUACGAAGGCAUCAUCGUGGGGGUACGAGAUGCCCUCCGCAUCUUUUUCUGUAAAAAGGAUAGGCGGGGGAUGGUGGGGUACCUUCGGUGUACCCCAUUCAUUAAGGUUGACUUCUCUGCCCAUAUUGGUGGUUAUCGACAACGAUCUACCAUAGCCUUUGAUAGCCCUCCUAGAUUGGCCCGCUAAAGUCGGUCCGCCCAUGAUCAUUCGGACAUACACGCCUUUCUUGUGUCCAGGGGGUACCUCUCGUUCGGGACUGCCAUCAGCUACCCGCUUGCCUUUAUCCUGUUCCGCAGAUUUCCGAGCUUCUCUCAUGCCAGCAACAAAUUCUUUGAGGUACCCGCUAAGAAUCAAAGAUUCAAUUUCUUCUCGCAAGGUGAAGCACUCGGCUGUGCUGUGACCAAAGUCCUCAUGGAACUCGCAAUACUUCAGGCUACGCUUCAUGUUGGGGUACUUCUUCAUUGGCUUAGGAGGAGUAACCAAACGUCCCUUGUAUUUUCGUGGCCAGAGCAGCUUGAUCUGGCGAAAUCAGCACUGAAGCCCCAAAAUCAGCCACUUUUGCUAUAUACUUGUCAUCCAAAAGUAAGUUGGAGGAUUUUACAUCUCCGUGAAUUAUUGGGGGGCUUGCUAAAGAAUGGAAAUAGUCAAGAGCUGAAGCAAUUUCGGCCGCGAUCCUAAGACACAUUUUCCAAGUUCUUAACGCCUGCGAACUCUUAUCAUGGAUAUAGUGAGAUAUAGUUUCAUUGGAAACAAAUUCAUAAACCAGUAGAGGCACUUUGGUUUGCAAACAUAGCCCUAAAAUCUUGACCACAUUCUUAUGGUUUAUUCGUGACACAAUACCCAUUUCCUUCGAAAUUCCUGAUUUAUCCGAAUUUUUUCUAACUCUUUAGGCUUCUUCACUGCAAUUUGGAUAUUGUCAGGUAAGACACCUUUGUAAACAGAGCCAAAACCACCUUCACCUAGAAAGUGGCUUUCAUUAAAAUUUUCGGUAGCUUUAACUAGCUCUGCGGCACUGAAAAUCCUCACUGACUGAUGCUUUAGUAUCUCACCACCAUUUUUUAAGAAGUUUUUCUGCUUUCUUCGUUCUAUACAUCCAAUGAAAAUUAAAAUUCCUAGAAUCACACUGAAUAUAACUGCUCCAAUAACUGAACAUGUUAAAAAGAAAAGAAUUAUAUAACGUAUAAUUAUAUAUGGAAAGGAAAAUGAUCCAUUAUAAGCAGCAUUCCAACUUCAUGCCCAAUCUCAAAGGAUUUUAACAUUGAAAUUUAAAAGCUUCACUUUACCUUUCUUGUAUUACUCAUUUUACCAGCUAAAUCAUCAUUUGGCAAAUACGAUGCAUAAAAUCAUUAACAUAUUAGGUACCGUGUAUCAAACUGUCAUAGAAUCUGAAAAAAUAAUUACUGUCAUGUAUCUUAAAAGGGAGAGACGACAAAACACAAACACUAAAAAAAUCUAGAUGACAAACAAUAAUAAUAAAAAUGACAAAAACAAUACUUACAGAUAAAUAAAUAAUAAAAGAAGCAAUAGAAAAUUUAGAAAGAGGACAUCAGUCAUCACCUGCAACAAUAGUGGUGAUAUGAAAUCCCCGACAAUCGGACAAUCGCAUGUAUAACUCCCAAUUGUGUUCCUACACUUCCCUUCACAAUGGUACUUUUCUUUAUCUAGGCAUUCAUUAAUGUCUGUCACACGUGCAUAAGGUGACACAUUUUUAAUGUAAAAAUUAAAGAACACUGAGAUUUAGACGGCAUGAGGCGACAAACUUUUAAUAACAAAAUUAAAGGAUACUGAUAUUUGGACCACGAAAUUAAAUAAAACGCUGACAAAAACAAUAUACAACCCCAAGAGAGUUUAGGUAUUUAAUUUUCCAACAUAAUUAACUCCGCAUCGGUUUUAGUCGGUGUUUUAUUGAUAUUUAGCCUCUUUAUAAUUUCUGUGAAUAAAAUGACUGAUUAUUAGUUAAAACAAAUAAAAAGAGAGGAAUCGAAGAAACAUACCAACACAUCCUAGAUAGGGGUUUCCUGAAAUCCUUGCUUGCAUUUGCAACGAUACCCUUUGCCAUUUUCAGAGUAAUAACAAUUAGUAUUAUCACCGCAGCCAUCAACUUUUGAAUUUGGAUCAUCCGGGCAAUUCUUUUCUUCAACUACCCAUGCAAUUGUAACAUUUGAACUUGACUUAUCUUCAGAGGCUCGAAAUUCUGCUAUAUUGAAGGUUUCGUCUGCUAAGAGUGCAUAAUCACACCGCAUGAACUCUCCCAUAUCCUCGUGAUUAUGUACGCUACGAAGAGUGAGUUCCAACGACUUGAGACUUUUGGGUAAUGGAGUCUGGGGUAUUGGGGUAUCUGAGGCAUGGCGAACGCCUCGGGGAGAGCUGCUGUCCUAAUCUCCAUAGUGAAUGGCGAUUUGUAGGUCAUUGGCGUUGGUGCAGCUGUGAUGUUUUGCUUCUCGGAGAGGAGCUUCACUUGGGCUUCCAGGUUCUCCAUCUUUUCCACAAGUUCAAGGGGUACCCUCGGUGUACCUGAUGAUGUCGCCACCAUUUGAGAAGCCCUUUUGGCGUUUAACUUCUCACGGAGAUCCUCGUGGGUACGCUUUGCACGCCUCGUACCCUGGCUACUGCGGGAAUUACAAGAGGCGGUGGAACGCUCGUCGCGGGAGCCCAUGGUUUGAAACUUAGAACGGGUACCCGAUGGCCUAAGCUUUGGCUUGCUGGCCUCGGGUACCCCUCUUCUGACCAUAGCUUGGUCGUCCGUUUGAGGUGGUGGAGCUUCUAGCGUCACUGGUGGAAGUGAACUUUCGGGUGCCCGAGAUCCGACCGCCCUAAGUAUUGCGUGGGCAAGAUCCUCAAAACGCUUGUGCGAAAUAGGUUCUUCUUCUUGGCGAACACCCGUCGAUUGCUUGACACCCUUGCCCUUACUGAUGCGGGCUACCCUUCUCGCGGGAUCACUACCUUCACUGUUGUUGUCCUCACUCAUCCUUGUAGGAUCCCCCAUUAAACCUUCGGGAGGUACGUCAGGUGCCAUGUAUUGGAGUACACACAACAACUAGUUUGGUAACUGUGGAGGAGGCUUUUUGUGCGUCUCCCCACAGGCGGCGCCAAUUGUUUUCAACUGAUUUUGGGGUAGGAAAAUCCAAAAUCAAUCUAGAACAAUAAAUUUAUAUUUUUGGGGGAGAUGGGGUACCUCACUAGUUUAUUUUGUGCGGUGCGGUGUAUCUGAAAUUCGGGGGAGGUGAGAAGGGGAGAAAGAGUGGUAACAAUGGUGAAAGGUCAGAAACGAGAGAGGUGUCCUUCCAAAUGAGUCUCACGCUUGCAAAACAGUGAAAUAGAGGUUAGAGGUGAAGCCGGGGUACCCCGGCGUUCACACUCCGACGCUCAAGUUAGCAAACUCAAGCUUUAAUGGUAAAGAGAGCUGGUCAGCCCUCUGUAAAUUUAGGGUUUAAGGUUGAAGAAAACCUAUUUUUUGGAGUGUGAGUGUUAUUGGUGAGUGAGAGCCUGGUGAAGAGUGAAACCUAGGCGCCUUUAUAUAUGGAGUACCUUAGCUGCCACGUGGCAUACCCCUUUUUGGCUAACGUCCUUUUACCUCUUUAUAAUUUUUCGGGUCAUUAUCUGCAUGUUAGCGGCAUAUCUCAUCUUUUGGAAACGUGGCGCGCGCUGGAGAGUGGUCCGGGGUACCUCUGCAGUAGCUGUCGGGUAGGCGGCUGGGGACCACUGUCCUUGGGACAGUGUCCUUCACUUUUGGCAGAGGUAGCAGGCGGCUGUCCCCCCCUUUUGAUACGACGUUCUUGAUUCCUAAUUCUGACAAAAUCAAAUAAUAUCUUUUAGGAGGCGGAGACGUUUCUCAUGGCGGAUAUUUUCGGCGGAUUCUCUUACAUCCGCUUUGCCGGGUACCUCGAGUUACAUGGGGUACCCCCUAUUACGCGGGGUACCCCUAUUUGUAUGGGGUAUCUCUAUUUGUGUGGGAUACCUCUAUUUAUACGGGGUACCUCUAUUUAUACGGGGUACCUCUAUUUAUACGGGGUACCUCAAGUCAUGCUGAGCACCUCGGAUUAUGCAAGGUACCUCCGAUUAUGCUGAAAUCAUUCCAUUGGCUGACACGUGGCGCUCUAUUACCUUUCCUAUUUUCCCUCAAACACAAACUGAUGUGAUGCGCCCCUGCUCAGCAAGAUAGGAUAUUUCUGGGUUCUAGCAUGCUCAACUCGGCUGGAAUCUCAUUCUCCCACUUAAAUUUAUGUAGACCUUUGAUGUGUAUACAAGGCAUUUCAAUUAUGGAUCAGUUUUAUUAUUGAAAUUGUGCAACUGUAGUUUAAAAAUUAUAAUAUUAAAGUGUUUGAUAAAUACUAACUGCAGUAUCUUAGAAAUUAUGUUUAUAUGAUUUUUCACUUUUAUUAUUUAAAUAUUAUAUUUACUAUAUAUUAUUAAUUUUUAUUUCAUAAUUAUAAUUUUUUUUUUACAACUGCUGUAUCUUAAAAGCUAUAGCAUGUUAUGUGAAUUUGCAUUCUAGGCUUGUAACUUCAUACGUCAUUAAUCAGACAUUGCCAACAUAAUGAUGGUUGUCUGCAGGCUUUUGUUUCAUUCUUUUCAAAUUUCUGCUUCAAAUAUCAACACUAUUUUAUUCACACAAAGGACCCAAAGAGGCCUUUGUUGAUAUUAAAUAAAAUAGCGUUCUAACGUAGCAUUCUCUACUACUAAUUCAGUGGAAUGUUGGUGGAAAUGAUUUCAAAAUAUUUAAUUCAAUGAAUAUGAGAAGAUAAAGAGUUUUUUUUCCUUUUUUUUAACGAUAUUAAUAAUAAACUAUAAAAAAAUUAAACUUAUUACUCAUAACAACCCACUCAACUUGUUUAAAUUGAAUUGGAUCGGAUGUAUUGAGUUGGAUUGAGUUUGCUCAUCCCUAAUUAUUAGUACAGUAAAAUUAAAAGGACAAGGAGUAUACUAAGAAAAAUUAAUUAAUUUUACAUUUUAGUUACAUGAUAAAUCGUCUGUUACUUAUCAUUCCCUUAUAUUUGCAUGAUUAAGAAAAAAAUACUUGAUGAAAAAUUCUAGUAUUUUUUAAAACUUAAUUACUUAGAUUAAAUUUAUUCGUGUUUACUUGACUUCAGGGAUUUAAAGAAUAGCUUUCACCCUCUUUAUUUAAUUAGUUGUAUGAGUUCAACUUCUAGAGAGAUAAAGAGUUAAAAUUUAUAAUUAAACUCUACACCCAACUCUAUGUUGAUGCCCAAAAAUGACCUCAAGAGCUGAAUUUAUUUUCUGAGGAAUAACAUCACGAAUCCAAGCUCAAACUACAGCUCAACUACAACUUCCUAUACCUGCCAACCACAGAACACGGUUAAGACACGCCGGUGGGGGUUCCGACGGGAAUACUCCUAUGCUUAAGUCAGACGUUUUGUAUAUAAGAAAAAAGAAAAUGAAAAGGAGGAACUGGAAAUGAAUUAAAAUCAAGGAAUUCUUCGGUGGUUGUGUUGUCAAUCUCGUAGAAAAUAUGAAGGUUUUAAGACUAGUCACUUGUAGAGUUUUUUAGUUAAUUUUUCUACCACUUUUCUCUUAUGCUCUUUUCAACUUAAAUAGGCUCUCGGUUGUGGGUGGUUAUCUCAUUAGUUUUAUUCCACUCUCUUGAGCAGUUGCAGCUAGUUUUCAACUGAAGGCGGUUUGAUAAGUUGCGUUAUGUAACUUUCUCAAAAUAUAUGCCACGUGGUCCUGACAAAUAAUAUUUCGUGUCAAGCUAGCACAUCCUCAGGUCGGACAAACAAGUUUCCAGCUCAAACUACUUCAUUUCCAUAUUAGAUUAGUAGAUUUUUAUGUCGCUCGUAUGGACUUAGAGUUGUAUUUAUAAACCAGCUCGUCCACAUUGACUCUAGAUUGUACUUAUAAACCACAUCGCUAACAUAGGCUCUUAGUUGUACUCAUGAGACCAACUCAACAACAAUUGGUUCCAAGUAAAGGUUAGAAUCAACUGUAUUUCUCGACAUUGUUAGAAAAAAUCCAAUCUCAACACCAGUCCCUUAAUUUUUAAUAUCGAGAAGCUAUUACUGGUGUUGGAAAGUAAUUAUUGAAAAAAUAAAAAAUAAAAAUCGUAAACCUAACACCAAUCAUUUAGUUUUCAAUAUCAGAAAAUUAUUACUGGUGUUGGAAAUUAAUUAUCGAAAAAAAAAUUGAAAAUAUUUUCGCAAACCCAACACUAGCACCCUAGUUUCCAAUACUGAAAAGAUACGAUUGGUGUUGGAAACUUAAACGUAGGACAAUAUGAGCUCGAGCUGAGCAAAGAAUGCGUAGCUAAACAUAAAUAAUGCCGAGUUGAAUGGGCUAAAAAAUUGUAAAAAAAAAAUUGCAUUGCUCAUAGAGAAGAGAAAAAAGGACGAAAAAGUAAAAGAAAUAAAUAAAUAAGGCAAUAAAACAAAAGUAAAUAAAUAAAUGAAUGAGACAACAAAACAAAAGUCAUGUCACGUGAGUAGAGGAAAGCAAAAUUUAAGUCACAAACUUUUGUCUUAUAGCCAAUAAUAAGGUAAUCUCGGCCAUUAGUUGCCUAAGGGUUUAGAUAAUGCAAUUUAUUAUAGUUGUUUUUGUUCGUUUGCGUACCUUCUCCUAUUGCUCUAUUCAUCAAUGGGAAUAGGUGCUAGCUUUAAUAAUUUUACUCGAAUAAUUUUAUACAUAUACGUUUACUCAAAAAGUUAGCAAAGGCAAGAGAAAAAUGCACGAAAUUAUUAAAACGAAAAAUAUUGAAUUACAAAACAGCAAUUUUAUGCAACUUUUGUGCAAAUUUCAUUAUUGUUUUGACUAUCCAAACGGAGCUAUGCAUCCUCUUUUAAAUGACUCAACCAAAUUGUCCAAUGCAACACGAGAUGACCCACCAUCCCUCAUCGCUGCUGCAGCUGCUUCUUUCAUUGCCACCGCACGUUCCUUAACAGCUCUACCUUUCUCCGAGUCCAUCAACUCACUAACUCGCUGCUCCAACUCGGCUGAGCUCACCAAUCCGUCUCCUUCUUCUGACCGAGUCACCGCCAAACCCACCUUCAUUUCCUCCACCACGACCGCUCUAAUCAUCUUUUGCUCGGCAUACAGAGGCCAAGCCAACAUUGGCACCCCGGCACAAACACCUUCAAGCACCGAGUUCCACCCGCAGUGAGUCACAAACCCGCCAACUGACUCAUGAUUCAGUACCUCCACUUGCGGCGCCCACGAUUCAACCACGAGCCCCCUAUCUUUUGUUCUAUCCAAGAACCCUUCAGGUAAAAGAGACUCCAAUGAGCUUCGGUUCUCGACGCUGUCGGGAGCUGGAGCUCUCACGACCCAAAGAAACUUAACACCACUUCUCUCCAACCCAAUGGCCAUUUCUUUUAACUGCUUACAAGAGAACGAUCCCAAGCUUCCGAAACAAAGAAACAGGACGCUUCGACUCGGUUUCGAGUCAAGCCAGCUCAAGCAUUCAUGUCGAUCACGUCCUCGAUUCUCUCCAUUUCCUCGACCAACCACGGGCCCUAUGCAAUAUAAAGGCGGCGACGUAUCCCCUGGAGUGCAUUGUCCUUCUAGCAUCGCUUUGAUAGCUCUCUCUUCGAGCAAUUCAAAUGUGUUUACAAUAACCCCCGCAGAUUUUGCCAUCUGGAUGCCGGUGUCGACUAAGCCCUUGUAUACUUUACCCUCACGAUCAUGCAUGGGUAACGCCAUGUCUCUUGCUGGAAAAGGCGGAAAUCCGGGGAAAUUUAAAAGCGCGCUGCCGAGUUCUCUGAAGCUCUUUGUGGUGUUUUUAUGAAGAGUUGGUAAGUAGAGGUUAGCAGCGAGUACGCUUCCUGCGGUGGUGAAGUAAUAGUAAGUAGGGAUACUGAGAGUACUCGAGGAAACUUGAAACGCGGGGUUGCAAAGGAAAUCGAUAACAAAGGCUUUCAGGUUUGAGCGUUUGGAAAUUGUUAUUAGGGUUUCGUGGAGAUUAGGGUUGUUGAGCUCGCCAAGCUCGUACACUAAGGCUGGGAAGUCAGCUGGUGAACGUAAAGUGUCGGGUAGGCCGGAAACCGGAGGAGGGAGUUGGUGGAAGGUAACGGAGGGAGCUGUGGCGGAGACGGAGGCGAUGUAAUCAUCGGUACCGGCGCUUGAUACGAACGGGGCGGUGGGGAUUAUGAUGUCAAUGGAGAAGCAAGGGUGGUACGUGAGUAUCAAUUUUCCUAAUUCAACCAUGGAGUUUAAGUGACCUCUUCCUGGAGAAGUAUAAAAGACAAUCGUAUCUUUCAUUUUUUUUAAUCUUUAAUUUUACAAGUUAAAAUAUUUUUAAAAAAAACAGUAGAAAUGGUGAGAAAUUAUAGUGAGAGAGAAUGAGAGUGUGAUAAAGGGCUCCUUUGUGUUUGCUAAUCGCAAUGCAAUUAUGCAUCGAAGCCCACGACGAAAUACUGGAAGCCUGUAGGUUACAGGGUUAAAUGGGCAAAGAAUUGUUGGUUGAAGUAAAGGGAGCUUAAAGAAACUUUCACAAGUGGAGGAGGAUUUUGGGGAAAACGAUUCAGUCUCUUCUACUCGGCUUCAAUGCCUUGCGUAAGUGUAGCAUGUGGGCUGAAUUAUUUAUCAAAACGAGAAGGACUUGCGAGUUGAGGUCACUUAGUUGCCAGGUUGUGAACCCAUCAGACAAUCACAGUAUGCUGACAUAAUUGACCAACCUGUUUUCUAGCCACAUAGUUCAACUACCCACUAUGACUUUUCAAAGCAAAUGACGUGGCCUAUGUUUACACCGCUUGAUUUACCUGUCCCCUACCCCGCUCUGUUUUCUCCUAAUCUUUAACUAGGCUCCACCGUAUUAAAAAUAAAAAUAAAAAACAAAAACUAUCCCUUAAUUCUUCUAGAUUACCAGAGGGAAGUGGUGGAAAGUGACGGAAGGAGUGGUGGCGGAGACGGAGGCGAUGCAACCGUGGAUACAGGAGCUUGUUUCGAAUGGGGCGGUGGUGCGGAUUAUGGUAGCAAGGGUGGUAAUUAAGUAUCAAUUUUCCUAAUCCUACGAUGAAAUUUAAGUGACAUUUUUCUUGGAGAAGGAUACAAAAUAAAGUAUUCUUUCAUUUCUUUACCUAUAAUUUAAAAUUAUUAAAUGCUAAAAAAAAGGUCGGAGCUUAUAGAAAAAAGUUUAGAAUAUUAAUAUAUUAGUUUUAUUGGUUUCUUUAUGAUAUAUUUACCGGUAAUUAUUUUUAAAGAUACAACGUUAUCAAAUUAGCUUUACAAAUAAUUCAUGUGACAAUUUAAUUUAAAUUUGUGAUCGUAUGUACAAUAAAAUUAAAUUUAUAGAGAGAAAACUCCUUAAAUUUUUAUCCUUUUAGAAGUAAGAAUAAUAUAUUAGGCAUGUGAACCUUCCAUUGCGAUUAGGCCAAUCAAAAUUUGAACAUAUGAAGUCUGCAACAGUCACUUCAAUUGCGAUUAGGCCAAUCAAAAUAUGAACAUAUGAAGUCUACAACAGUCACUUCCAUUGCGAUUAAGCCAAUCUUGUAGCUAUAUUCGUGGCAUGUUAAUGCUGACCAAUUUUAAUUUAAAUUAUUGGCUCGGCGAGUACUGAAGUACAAUUAAUCUGUCCGCGAAAUCGGAAUAAAAUAUUUGUGUCCCAAUUUACUGGCACAUUACAUGUCAAUUGAUUAAUGAUAGCAUAAAGAGGUGUGCUAGCGACAGUCGGUCGCCCUUGUGGGCCACUAACUCAGUCGCUCUUUUAUUUUAUGGGCACGUGUUUGAUAUUUUGGUUCUGUGUAAUUUUAAAUUAAUGUUAAUAUCUUUAAGUUUUGUUUUAAUAUUAUUAUUUUUAUGUAUAACGAAUUUACCACAAUAUCCUUAUCAUUUCUCCCUCUCGCCAGGCUUGUUCUCCCUGCCACUGCAGCUCCUUCUCUGCUUCUUCAAUUUCUUUUCUCUCUCUACUGGAAGCUUGGAAAAAAGAGAGAAAAGGGAAAAAAAAAAAUUUGAAGUCAAGUCUCCUUUUUAGCCAAAAUAAAAUUUUAAAAAAUAUUUUACUUUAAAAAAUAAAUAACAAAAAUUAUCCUAGCCAUGUAGAUCCGAUUACGCACCUAAAAUAAAAUAUCAUAUCAAAUCUGAAGUAGGAGAAGUGGAGAGACGGUCAUCUUUCAAGCAACGAUAAUAUUUUGUUAUCAUUUCUUUUUUUAGGAGACUUUGUUUUUUUAAAUCUUUUUUCCCCUUGUCUUUUUUUUUUUUUCCCUUCCAAUCUUUCGUUAAAGGAGAAAAGAAGGAAAAGAAAUUGACGAAGAAGAGAACAAUAAGAAGAGAAAGCUUGGCAAGGAGGAGAAAGGAUAAGGAUGUUUUGGUAAUUUCACUAUACAUAUAUAUAAUAAUAUUAAAAUAAAACUAAAAGAUAUUAAUAUUUUAACAUUUAUUUAAAACUAUACAGAACCCAAAAUAUCAAACACGUGUCAGCAAAUGAAGUUAGCGGCUGAUGGGCGAUUGUCGCUAACACUCCUCUACUAUUAAAAAGCCAGCUAUUAUUAAACCCAUCACAUGUCAUUUCUUUAAAAUGUUGUAUUCAAGAAGCAUAUGAAGUCUCCUUCAAUUUUUUUAAAACUUCUAACUAUAUUUCAAUGGAAUUCUCACUAAACCUGCUUAACAAUUAACUAAAAUAUGUAGCUGGCAAAUUAAUUUCAACUUUUGCUUACGAGGAAAUACUACUAAUCAAGUUUUUUACAAUGAGGAUCAAAAUUCUCAAUUAAAAUAGGCGACGUUUUCUCGUAUUCUAUAAUUUCUCUUAAGCAUAUGGUUAAAUUAUUAUUUGGCAGUCGUAUGUAAAUGAAAGAAAUUCACACUUCUUUGUAAUUAAAAUUAUUCUCAACAUUAUUUUGCUCUUCCAUAAAUUCAAUAGGAGUCACUUUAUAUGUGUUCUAAGAUUAAUAAAAAAUAAAUAAAGAUAUCAAUUCAGGGUUAAAAAAAAUGUAACGGUGAGUGUAAAGAUGGGCUUAAAGAAUACAAAUAUUUUAAUAAUUUAAUUUUUUUUUUCCAAGUGUGGAUUUAGUGAGUGGGUUUGUGUGUUCAAAUGCAUAUUAUUAUGUAAUAAAAAAAUACAAAUAAUUAUUACGAAGUGUUUGUACUAUGGACUUUUCGGAUAAGCCAAUUAACGACUAUUGCUAAAAGCCCCUCACUGUAUUCAUGCAAGUGAUCCAAGGCCGUAUCGUAGCUCAAGCACCAAACAGCUUAAUUUAUGUUUGGGCCGGGUCGGAUUAUGGACUUUGGACUGAAUUUCUUUUUGGUACUUUUUGAGAAAAAUAACAAGAAGACACUAAAAUACAGCAGUCACAAACUCUCAACUAUUGUAUACAAAUAGAUAACAUAAUAAAAAUAAAUGAUAUGGAUGGUACGGUGUUUUAUUUAAUUAAAUCCAUGCUAUUUAUACCACGUGAGUUGUACAAUAAAUUUGUAGUUAGCCACAUCUAGUUCUCGUAAUUGUGCCCUUCAUAGAUUACCUUAUCUAAGCCCUUAGGCAAUCGUAUGGCCGAGAUUACCUUAGUAUUGACUAUAAGACAAAAGUUGGUGACUUAAAUUUUGCAUUCCUCUACUAACGUGACAUGACUUUUGUUUUGUUGCCUUAUUCAUUUAUUUCUUUACUUUUGUUUUAUUACCUUAUUUAUUUAAUUCUCUACUUUUUCGUCCUUUUUGUCUUUUCUCUAUGAUCAAUGCAAAAUUUUAACAAUUUUUAAGCCCAUUCAACUCGGCAUCAUUCAUGUUUAGCUAAGCAUUCUUUGGUCAGCUCAAGGUCAUAUUAUCCCCCGUUUAAGUUUCCAACACAGAUCAUAUCUUCUCGAUAUUGGAAACUAAGCGACUAGUGUUCGGUUUACGAAUAUUUUUCUAUUUUUUUUAAUAAUUAAUUUCUAACACUCGUAAUAACUUCCUGAUAUUAAAAACUAAGGGAUUGAUGUUGAGAUUAGUUUUUUUUUUUUGACCCAAUGCCGAGAAAUACAAUUGACCCUAACUUGUUAGGAAUCAAAUGCUAUUGAACUGACCUCAUGAGUACAACCAAAAACCUAUGUUGACAACCUGAUUUUAUAAGUACAACUUCGAAUUAAUGUGGACGACCUUAUUUAUAAAUACAACUCUAGGUCUAUGCGAGCGACAUAAAAAUCCACCAAUAUGAUUUGGAAAUGAAGUAAUUCAACCUCGAAACUUGUUUGUCCAACCUGAGGAUGUGCUAGCUCGACACGAAAUAUUAUUUGUCAAGACCACGAGGCCUAUAUUUUGGGGAAAUUACAAACCACAACUUGUCAAACCGUCUUCAACUGACGACUAGCUAUAACUGCUCAAGAGAAUGGGAUAAAACUGAUGGAGUAACCAUCCACAACUGAGAGUCUAUUUUAAGUGGAAAAGAGCAUCAAAGGAAAUGAUUAGAAAAAUUAACUAAAAAGCUCUAUAAAUGACUAGUCUUAAAACCUUCUUAUUUUUUAUGAGAUUAACAACACAACCACCCAAGAAUUCUUUGAUUUUAACUCAUUUCCAAUUCCUCUUUUUCAUUUUCUUUUUUCUCAUAUACAAAACAUCUUACUUAAGCAUCAAAGGAUUCUUGUCGAAACCCCCACCAGUGUGUAUUAACCGUGUUCUAUGGUUAGUAGGUAUAAGAAGUUAUGGUUGAGCUGUAGUUUGAGCUUGGAUUCGUGUUGUUAUUCCCUAGACAAAUAAAUUCAAAUGUUAAGGCAGUUUUUCUGCAUCACCACCCUCCUUAAAAGACAUUCAUUAAAUAAUAAUCCUUUGGUAAUUAGCCCAUGAGCGUACUAAGAAUAGUAAAGGAAAUCUACGGAAUGACAUACAAUUGUUAAUAUUCCAAAUUAAAGAAAAACAUCAUCGUUUAUUUUUAAAAGAACGAGAGAGAAUCACAGGUGCUAAUUUUUACUCGAAUAAUUUUAUACAUAUACAUUUACUCAAAAAGUUAGCAAAGGAAAAAAAAUGCAUGAACUUAUUAAAAACAAAAAAUAUUGAAUUACUAAACAGAAAUUUUAUGCAACUUUUGUGAAAACUUCAUUAUUGUUUUGACUGUCCCAACGGAGCCAUGCGUCCUCUUUUAAAUGACUCAACCAAAUUGUCCAAUGCAACACGAGAUGACCCACCAUCCCUCAUCGCUGCUGCAGCUGCUUCUUUCAUUGCCACCGCACGUUCUUUAACAGCUCUACCUUUCUCCGAGUCCAUCAACUCACUAACUCGCUGCUCCAACUCGGCUGAGCUCACCAAUCCGUCUCCUUCUUCUGACCGAGUCACCGCCAAACCCACCUUCAUUUCCUCCACCACGACCGCUCUAAUCAUCUUUUGCUCGGCAUACAGAGGCCAAGCCAACAUUGGCACCCCGGCACAAACACCUUCAAGCACCGAGUUCCACCCGCAGUGAGUCACAAACCCGCCAACUGACUCAUGAUUCAGUACCUCCACUUGCGGCGCCCACGAUUCAACCACGAGCCCCCUAUCUUUUGUUCUAUCCAAGAACCCUUCAGGUAAAAGAGACUCCAAUGAGCUUCGGUUCUCGACGCUGUCGGGAGCUGGAGCUCUCACGACCCAAAGAAACUUAACACCACUUCUCUCCAACCCAAUGGCCAUUUCUUUUAACUGCUUACAAGAGAACGAUCCCAAGCUUCCGAAACAAAGAAACAGGACGCUUCGACUCGGUUUCGAGUCAAGCCAGCUCAAGCAUUCAUGUCGAUCACGUCCUCGAUUCUCUCCAUUUCCUCGACCAACCACGGGCCCUAUGCAAUAUAAAGGCGGCAACGUCUCCCCUGGAAUGCAUUGUCCUUCUAGCAUCGCUUUGAUAGCUCUCUCUUGGAGCAAUUCAAAUGUGUUUACAAUAAUCCCCGCAGAUUUUGCCAUCUGGAUGCCGGUGUCGACUAAGCCCUUGUAUACUUUACCCUCACGAUCAUGCAUGGGUAACGCCAUGUCUCUUGCUGGAAAAGGCGGAAAUCCGGGGAAAUUUAAAAGCGCGCUGCCGAGUUCUCUGAAGCUCUUUGUGGUGUUUUUAUGAAGAGUUGGUAAGUAGAGGUUAGCAGCGAGUACGCUUCCUGCGGUGGUGAAGUAAUAGUAAGUAGGGAUACUGAGAGUACUCGAGGAAACUUGAAACGCGGGGUUGCAAAGGAAAUCGAUAACAAAGGCUUUCAGGUUUGAGCGUUUGGAAAUUGUUAUUAGGGUUUCGUGGAGAUUAGGGUUGUUGAGCUCGCCAAGCUCGUACACUAAGGCUGGGAAGUCAGCUGGUGAACGUAAAGUGUCGGGUAUGCGGGAAACCGGAGGAGGGAGCUGGUGGAAGGUAACGGAGGGAGCUGUGGCGGAGACGGAGGCGAUGUAAUCAUCGGUACCGGCGCUUGUUACGAACGGGGCGGUGGGGAUUAUGAUGUCGAUGGAGAAGCAAGGGUGGUACGUGAGUAUCAAUUUUCCUAAUUCUACCAUGG
This 45424-nucleotide long non-coding RNA is filed under the name Citrus sinensis (sweet orange). RNAcentral's name for it is "long non-coding RNA (CSIN_LNC004023)". The record is from RNAcentral. Lineage: Eukaryota; Viridiplantae; Streptophyta; Magnoliopsida; Sapindales; Rutaceae.